This 55020-nucleotide long non-coding RNA is filed under the name Malus domestica (apple). RNAcentral describes it as "long non-coding RNA (MDOM_LNC005169)". The record is from RNAcentral. Lineage: Eukaryota; Viridiplantae; Streptophyta; Magnoliopsida; Rosales; Rosaceae.
ACUACUCACAGUCACAGUCACCGCUUUUUGUAACCUUAGAAAUUUUGUUCAAAUCUGAUCAGCCUUCAAUGGCGGAUGAGGUGGUGUUGUUGGAUUUCUGGCCAAGCCCAUUUGGGAUAAGACUGAGGAUUGCUCUGGCUGAGAAGGGCAUUGUGUAUGAGUACAAAGAUGAGGACUUGUGGAACAAGAGCCCACUGUUGCUGCAGAUGAACCCGGUUCACAAGAAGAUCCGGGUUCUCAUUCACAAUGGAAAACCGGUCUCCGAGUCCCUCAUUGCUCUUCAGUACAUUGACGAAGUUUGGAAUCAUAAGGCUCCACUCUUGCCCUCUGACUCUUACCUCAGAGCCCAGGCCAGGUUCUGGGCUGACUUCGUCGACAAGAAGGUGAUUUUUACUCAUUAAUUUACUUAUUUGCUGUAUUUUUGUUUUGUUUUGAAUAUUUUUGGUUUGAAACAAUUGAAAACAUGGGAAAUAGAACAUCUGGUUAUAUUUUUUAUGUUUAAAUGUUGAGAGUAUCUAGCAUAAGUGCUUAAAACCUCACGCGUUGCUAAUUCAUUUUUGGUUAAAUGCUUACGGAUAUUUGAGCUGGUAAUUAAAACAAUGUUGUUUUAGAAUUUUAAGAUUAGAAGUGUUUAGGGUGUAACGGUUUUACCAUUUAGGAUUUGUAUUAGAAGGAAAGCUAAAUGGAAACUAGAUCUCUGUUUAUGUUUUCAAGGUUAAUAUUACGCUCGCUUUUAAAACAUAGUUAAUUAAGGUUUCAUGUUACAGUUUCGGGUUUAAGGUUUAAGGUUUGUGAUGUAUAUUUAAAAGGGGAGACUUUGGAUGCGGUCCCUAGUUAUGAACAAUCUUUGACUGAAACCUUAUUGGUUUUCAAUUUUUGAUCCAAGUCCCUGAAAUUAAUUGAUAAUUUAUUUCUAUGUACGUUACUAUAUUUUUUUAAUUAAAAAUUAAAAUUUAUAGUUGUUUAUAGUAAUGAGAUUUAAAUAAAAAAACCAUAAUUUGUGGGAUUAAAAAAAUAUAAAAAUAUAAAUAUACUAUUGUGUGUGUGUGUGUGUGUGUAAACAUGGGUACAUUCAUAAAAAUAACCAAAAAAUUAUUGUAUCAAAACAUGGAUACAUUCUUCAAAAUGGGUACAUUUAGCAAAAAAAAAAAAUGGGUACAAAUAAAUAAAAAAAUAUAUGGGUAUACAAUACAAAUAAAACUUUAAAAAAUAUGGGCACAAAAAGAAUUUAAUAUAUGGGUACAAAUUAAAACUGAAAGGAAAAUUGGUACAAAUUAAAAAAGGGUUGCAAAUUAAAAAUGGGUACAAACUAAAAAUAAAAAAUAUAUGAUAAAAAAAUUUAGCCAUAAGUAAAUAAAUACUAAUUGUAACAUUUUUAAUAUUAAAUGAAUAUAUUUAGAAAUAAAAAAUAUUUUAUUAUUGAAAUAAUUAAUGAUAUUAUUAAUACAAAGGACCUUGAUCAAAAAUUGAAAAGUAAUAAGGUUUUAAUCAAUAGAGUAGUAAAAAUAAGGAUGAAAACCUAAUUACUCCAUUUAAAAGAUAUCAGCGGAAGAUCUGAACUUGCUCAAAACAAUGUAUAUUAAUUUCCCUGAAUUUUUGGGGAUGUGAAAUGCAGAUGUAUGAGAUUGGGAGGAAGCUUUGGGCAACCAAAGGAGAAGAACAGGAUGCAGCAAAAAAAGAAUUUCUCGACUGCAUUGGCGUGUUAGAAAGAGAGCUUGGAGACAAGCCUUUCUUUGGGGGGAAUACCCUCGGAUUCGUGGACGUGACGCUUAUUCCGUACUAUAGCUGGUUUCUUGUGUAUGAAAAAUUUGGCAACUUUAGUGUUGAGGCAGAGCACCCAGAAUUUAUUGCCUGGGUUAAGAGGUGCAUGGAGAAGGAGAGCGUGUCCAAGUCGCUUCCCGAGCAGGAAAAGGUCUACGAUUACGCCAUGCUUAUAAGGAAAAAGCUUGGAAUUGCAUAGAUUUUGGUGGAAGCCUGCAAGAAGCUAGUGAUGAUCAGUGUCAUUCCAACUUGUUUGGUCGUGUGGUUGUUCUGUCUUUCAAGAUUCAACCCGUUUUGGGUUGAUGAAUUAGAAUAAAAGGGCACUUGACAAGCUUUGUACUGUAAGAGACACUUUAUUGUGCCUCUGGUCGUAUGUUUAUUUUACUUCUGUAGUCAACUUAUCACACGUGUCAACUUGUUAUGUAAGGGAUCUAAAUCUACUUGAUCAAGUUUCUUAUUUUGUAACCACUUCAUAUCCCACGAUGGAUUAUUGGUUGUCACCAAUUGUGUUUAAUUAUGUGUCUCUCUCUUAUCAGGUAACAAAGACCUAAAUUUAUUGGUCAAUUCUUGUUUCAUAACCGUACAGAAUCAACCAGUAAUAUCUUCUACAUAUACAUUUAUGUUACUGUAAUUUGAUUCAUAAAUCAUUUGUGUCAAUACAGUGCACACUUGGUCAACAAGUGACUUGUCCGUACCUAUAUGAACGUACUUCAUGAGAUCCCCGUGCACAUAAGUUUAAGUUUAUGCAUAAUUUGAUACAAUCUUGGGCAAUUAGCCACAAUAGACAUGUUGCGAUAUUUGGUUGCACUUUUGAUUACGCUCCCUAAAAAUUGCUCUUUUGAUGAAUUCUGCCUGUGAAAAGUUCAUAGUGCCCUUCAUUAAUCGAAAAGGGUACAACAAUACGACCCCCCUCCUCGCCUUUUGUGACGUUGAACCACCACUUAGACAACACCACAAUGAUGCCACAACUACACCCCAAUAAUUUAAAAAAAAAAAACAACCAAAAACUCAAUUUCGAAGAACCUGAUUUAACCAAAAAGGACUUACAUUUUAAUUUGAUUUAAACAAAAAGUCUCAGGAUUUUGAACAACCACUGCAACAACAAUAAUCUGAGAAGCUACAACGACACUACAACGAUACUCCCCAUUUUAUGAUUUUGAAACCAACAUAACCAUAACAACAAUCCAAUGACACCACAAUGAUGCUCCUCCUUUUAUGAAUUUGAACCAACAUAAUCACAACAACAAUCUAAUGACGUCCAAAUGAUACAUCCCCAUUUUUUUAUUUUGAACCACCUCAGCCGUAAUAAUUCAUUGAAGAACCCUCACCUUCUUCAUUCCCCAACCACCAAAACAAAAUUUCGAACCCAAAAAUCGAAUAUGAGCUAAGGCAAGAUGUGAGAGAGAGAGAGAGAGAGAGAGAGAGAGAGAGAGAGAGAGAGAAGAAUAAGAAGAAGAACGGAUCAGAGAGGUGGAGUAAUGAGAAACUGAGUCUUGUUGGGUGUUGUUGGUUUUUUCAUCAAUGAAGGGCAGUAUGGGCUUUUCACAUGCAAAAUUGAUCAAAAGAGCAAUUUUUAAAAAAUGGGAUAAAAAGUGCAACCACAUAUCAAAACUUGUCUAACGUGGCUAAUUGCAAUAUAAUCUUCUAAGGUCAUAAUUGAAUCCAACCUCUUAACAAAACCACUAAAGCUAGUGAUGGUAACUCAUAAGUUAUAUUGGCCAAUACAUCGACCGACGACUUAUUACUAUAAAAACAGUUAAGCAUGAUAGUAACUGACACGCCCUGAUCUUGAUGUCCGAGGGACAUUAGGAUGGUCACGUGCUGGUCGACACCCGAGGGUGACGAAAGCCAUUUAAUGAAUGCAUGUGCUAAGAACAUGUAAAACAUGUGUAUAAAUUUUGUGCGUGACUAUGCAAGUAAUACUCAAAUAUACGUCUUACAAAAUACCGUAGUAAUAUUCAAUUGCCAACAAUGAAUAUAAUGCUAAUGCUUGACAUGUUCAGAGCAUACAUGUAAUUCAUAGUACAAGCGGAAGAUAAAAUAGAGAGGUGUUAUUACAAUAGAAGUCAAAGUAGAGAGAAUGAUGCGGUAUCACUGGUAGGGGAAUGUGUCGUAUGUCGGAUCGUAUUCCUCGUUCCUAUGUCCUGAUGGGGUGCAAAACAACCAUGAGUGGACUAAGCUGAUAUAUAUGUAAUAAAAUAGUUAUUCAACAUACUAACCCCCAAAGUUUUAGGAAAACUAAUAGCAUAAUAGGUGAUAGAUUUGCCGAAAACCCUAGCUUGCCAUAAGACCUUUCAUAAAACAUAUAUCGUAUAUGGUAUGCUAACUAGUGGUAUCAGUAUCGCCCGAAGGCAUAUAGAACUCUUCCUUCACAAGUAUCAAUCACCAGUAGGCUCAUACAGCACCCAACCCGAAGGUCAAUAUAAGUAUCAUCGGCCGUAGGCAGGACAGUGACCACUAGAUAUGCACAAAAGCAGUGAAUAUACUCUUUCCAAACAUAGGUACAUAUAUCUCAAAAUCAUCUUCAGAGUAUAAAGUCAUCCAUCAUCUAUACUAUAAAGAAGUGAGUGAAAGCAUGUUUUAAAUAGUAUAUAGUCAUCCAUCAUAUACACUACAAAGAACAUCAGUUCAAUAAAAUAUGAUAUUUCAAAAUAUUCGCAGUAAGCAUAAUAUCUCAUAAAAUGUUUCAUAAAAUGUAAUCAUUAAAUCAUGCUUUUCAUGUAUGUAUUUAUACUAUUAAAACAUGCAUUUUAGAAGGAGUCUACUCACAGAUACUUUGUUGUCAUAGAGCCGUAAGAAAUAAGAAAGAUGAAAUCGCUGUUAAUAAUUGCACCUAAGCAUAUAAAGGGUACAAUUAAUAAAACUAUACUCAAAAGAUUGAAUUUCAAAAAAACGGACGUCAUAAAACCUAAAAGGGGACCUCGGGUACCCCUACGUGCCUCACGCGCCGCCGUGGGUCGCUGAAAAAUUCGUCGGCACCGGUGCCCCUUCACACACAGGCCCACACGCCUUCACUCGUUGCCUGGGGUUCCUAGGUUCUCUGGUUUUGGGCCUGAGCUUUGGGCUUGGGUCGAACGGUUUCUAAGCUUAAAAGAUUGGGCCUUAUGGGCCGAAGGCCUAAGGGCUUGGAGUCCAAGGGUUUUCAAAAGGGUUGGGGUCUUAGGGUUAACGGGCCAGAGGCCCAAUUUCCACUCGGUCUCAGCGCCGGUUCUUUGGGGUUUUUGGGUUAGGGUUUCAAGGGAAUUGGGCUCAAAUGCAACAACCCAAAGACACAAAUCUACACAACCCUAAGGGCCUGGGUUUGGUGGGUUAAUGGGUUGGGCUUUAAGGCCCGACCCAAAGCUUUUGGCUAAAGGACUUAGGCUUGGGGUUUUGGGUCUAGUCGACCCAAUAGCCUGGUUUCGACGGAAAAAGGAAGCCGGAGCUUCCAAAGCUUCGAUCGGCCUCGAUCUUCUACUCUAGAUGCAAUAUACCAUCAAAUGGUGGCCGGAGUUGGCCGGAAUCUGUGUUCAAAGGUCACGGGCUCGCCGAGGAGUUUUUGGGUGGACUUUGGGUGUCUCGUGCUUCACAGAGACGAGGGAGAGAGAGAGGGAGAGGGAGCCAACAAUGGUGAUGGUGGUGUACACGUUGGGGAUGUUUUGGGGUGUGUGAGUGUUUCUGUGUCUCGUCGGAGAGAAGAGAGGGUGAACUGUGAGAGAGAUCCAAGACUGAGAUAGAGAGUGAAAGUGAGAGAGAGAGCUUGGGGAGAGGAGAGAGAAAGAGGUAGUGGGUGAGUAGUUGCCACGUGGCAAGCAGAGAGAGGUGGAGAAGUUUAGAAAAUCUGAAAAAUAGGAUUUUGAUUGGGUAAGGAUAGGGGACUAGAAUGUAAAUUUCAAUAAAUCUUUAGGGAAAUUGUGAAAUUUACAAUAAUUUGGGGGUGGGGUUUAAUAGUAACCCAUAUUGCGAGAUAAAUUUAUUCUUAUAGUUGAGGUCAUAAAUUUAUUCUUAUAGUCGAGGUCAUAUCUACUCCUCGUCUAGGCUUCUUGCCGAACUUGAUUUUCUUAUGCUAUUAAUUGUCCAUACUUUUGUUAUUAUUAUGGUGUGACUGUUCUCACUUACUUUUACUGGGUUAGAGACCUAUGAGUUGAUUGGUGAAUAUAAUUUAAAUUUGUGUUUUUCACCAAUGUAAUAUAUAUAUAUAAAGGUUCUAAAAAACGCUAGGCGUUAGUCGGGUGCCGGGCUGGCGCCUAGGCAAGUUUAAGUAAACUUCUUGUAUAUCUUCUAAAUAAGUGCAUAUUGACACUGCAUUGAACUUGUAUAUCAUGCAUCCAAAUGUAAAAACAAAGUGUUAAAUGACAUAACAAGUUCAAUAUGGCAUCACUAUACACGUGUUAAAUGAUAUAACAACUUUCUAAAGAUGUGCCAUAUUUUGUAUAUCUUGUUUAUCACUAGGCAGAUUUAGGUAAUCCUCCCAACCUUCAUAUUUAGUUGACUAAUACAUCAACUCUUUAUUAAUUAAAAUACUAAAUAACAUAACUUAAAUGAACAACAACUAAAAAAAAAAGAAAAGCAAAAUACAAGAAGUAAAAUACAUAUUAACGUAAGAUAAUAACUAAUAUUAAACCCUUGAAAAUGGAUAAACAUAUUUAACACCAGACUCUCGAUACCAUUGCUACAAUAACUCUUGGGUAUGAAUAUUAUAUUAAUAUUUAGAAAAUAGAUUACUUUAGUCUAAAUAAGGCUUUUCAAUUGCACUAUACAAACGAACAGUGUUUUGAACCACAUUUCAGUUUAUUUACAAGAUUGCCACUCGAAUGCUUUUAACCACCUUUCACUUAAUUUACAAAAUUGCCACUUAGGCUUAAAAACCUAUUUUCAGCCGUUGUUUGCAUUUAAUGUUUGACUCAAUAACAGAGAGGGGAGGGGUACAUCACGCCUGACAAAUUGGAGAGAGACAAUCGCUUCCAUUUUUUACUCGAAGAUAGCUGGGUGUGCCUCUGGCGAGCGGAGAGAGGGGGAUAGAGCGACUACAGAGGAGGGAGACACAGAGCCUGACAAAUUGGAGAUAGAUGAGAGCUACGGGUAUGGACUGAGUGAGAGAGAUAUUUAGGUAGGUGCUCUGCCAGGCUCUUUCUGCCGCUAAUCUUGAUGCACACGUGUUGAUGAUCGUGGGAAGGGAAGAACGGUGGUAAAGUUGGCAUUUUCCAUUUCCUUCUCAAACCCUCAUUGCCUCUUCCGUCUCGUAGACCUUGCGAGAAUGACGGUCUCGCCUCCAUCCUAUCCUCGAGUUGUCGCCGUCUCUCUUCUUUAGGUAGGGUGUUGUGCGUGUGCGGUCAUGCUUGAUGAUCAUGGAAGCCAGUGAUUUAGCUUUUCUAUGACAUAGCCUCGACUCUGCUUCCAUCUCCAUUUUCUCUCCUCGCCUUGUCUCUCAGAAAUCACCAACAAGCUUAAAAACCACCAAGCCGUUAGAAAUCUCUUUGAUUCUCUCUCAGAAACUACGAAGCACAACGACCUCUUGUUGAAAAACCGUGAAAUUAGUCCCACUUCGAAGGAAAUUUUAAGCCCGUAAAAGCCUUGGUUUCCUGGUGAGUUCUCCAGCCGAUUUGGAGUGGGUAAUUUUGUGAUUUGCAGUUUAUUUUGGGAAAUGAUUGACGGGUUUGCAGUUCAUUUUACCAUUUCUAGAAUAUUUGCAGUUUAUUUUGGGGGUUUACACUAAAAUUAAGGAAGCAUAUAUGAACGCAAAGGCUCGAGGAUGUACGACAACUUGGAUAUGAUAGGGUACAAGCUAUGACAUUUUUGCAAAUUCAGUUUUUUUUCUUUUCAUUUUAGGGGUUUUUUUUUUUACUAUUUAGUUUUUGGGUUUUGUCUAAUUUUUGUGGUCUGCUUUAUAGAUUGUUCUCUUUGGAAGCUUCUUUCCAGCCUUGCGCUUCUUCUUGCCUGGUGCCUUCUCAUUGAAUAUUGGAGAAUUAAACCACAUGUGUGUGUGUUUUGUCGAUGUAAGAGGAGAACGACAUAAGAACAUUCAUCUUUAUAUAUAUAUAUUGUGCUUUUUCUAACCCAUCAAUUUCUUUUGAGUCAACCAAAUAGUCCCAACUUACAAUUUAUGUUGUGAAGUAUAAUUGUUUGAAAAAUUAAGUAUGCAUGUAUAUUUUAUGUAAGCAUAAAUUUAAUGAUUUACAAAAACUUUUAAUUGUUCCAUCCUAAAUAUCUUCCUUUAUUCUUGAUGCCAUGCUACUUGCUCGACCCUUUCUUGCAUCAGUUGUGUCACCUAAAAUUAAAAUGAAAUGAAAUAGUUUCCCUAAAUGCUUAAUGUUGUGAAUGCUCUAUACUCAUGUGUUUUACAGACGCUCAGUUCAAAAGAACUAGUUGCUGCUUGGGUGAGAGGUGUAUAAUUUCAUUAAAAAAAAAAAAAACUUUUUUGGUUGUUGGUGGUGGUUUAUCUGUAUUUGAUUGGUAAUUUCAACAUUUGAUGAUUCAAUAAUAUUUUGAACUUCCAUUUCUAUUGUCAGAAGAUAACGUCUCCAUCUCGAUUCUGCAUGAUCAAAAUGUACGUUUGGCUAAGACAUCCAUGCUUUUACAAGUAGAGAGGAAGCUGCAAUUAGAAACAACGUUGAGUGACAUUUAAGUCUUCAUUUGACAAAAAAAUAAAAAAAAUAAAAAAAUAAAACAUAAAAACUUGGAUUCUGAUAUCUAUAUUUGUUGUUUUAUUCUAUUGACAAUUCGUUGUUGAUUGGUUUUGUUGCUUUCCUCCACUUCUUAACUCAUAUUCAUUAAUCUACCUAUUUUAUUUGGGUGAUAAGUUCACUCUUUUAAUCUUAUUAGCUAAAUGAAGAUAUAGGGUGUGGUUUUGUUAAUGGCGGUGGAUGAUCUGGAUGAAAGUAUGUAUCUUGGAGAUUUUUUUGCUUACAUAUGUUUAGGCCCGGAUUGAAGAAGUUUUGUGGAAUGAGAUUCUUAUCAGAUUCUUAUACAAAAUUGUUUCUCUGUUUAUGGCAGGUAAUAAAUGUGGUCCAACCAAUGGCUGAUAAAAUGUCAUUGUAUAUAUGCUUUUGUCGAUUUCUGCUACGAUAAUGAGGGAAUCCAGCGGAUCGAGGCCAGUCGAUCUGAGGUUUGUGCUCCUCUAUCCCUUUCUUUCUCUCUUUCUGUGAAUUUCUUGAAAUUGACGACGCACGUUCUGAUUCUUGAUGUGUUUGGGAGAGGAGAAAGCUCUAGAUUAGCUUUGAUCACUUGAAUUUUUUCUUAUUUAGUUCAGCACAGUCGGACUACAUAAUCCUACCAUUGGGCUAUUUCUAGGGAGGGUUUAUGUUUACUUUUGUUAGUAUGUUGACAGUUUGGUAUGUCUAUCAUAUUGAUGGAACUAAAUUGUGAGUUAAUUAUCGUUUAGGUUGUUAAUAGUGUUUGUACAGUUAAGACAACAUGUGUGCUUUAUGCAGAAAGUUCAAAGGUUUCUGUUCCUGGCUUUAGUUUUAAUGUCGAAUAAUCAUUGUUUGAUUACAUUGUAGUAUUAGUAUGUUAUCUUAAUGAUUUCAUAUGCUUCUCUUUACGUUAAUUGUGUUGGAUUUCUACAUUUUUGGCUUUUGUUUUCUUUAAUUAAAUGAAGUUUGUAAUGUAUUUGGACAGGUACCAAUCUUCUUAAUGAAGAUUAGAGCAAUCAAAUGGAGCUUCAUAGGAUAAGUUUGUGAGGGUGAGUUUUUUUUUUUUUUUUUUUUUUGUUACUGUAUUUUUCUCCUUCGUGGCAUGCUUCUUGAUGGUUUUACUUUUACUUAAGUCUUCAUUUCGGUUCCUUGCCCAGGUUAUACAAAACUCAGUUGGUGUAAACCUUGCUGUAGAUGUAUGGAGUCUUGGGUGCAUUGUCUUGGACAUGGCUACGACAAAAACCACAUUGGAGCCAGUAUAAAGGGGUAUGAAUUUAAAUCUGAAACGAAUACUUUUGUAUAUUUGGUUUUGUAGUUAAUUUCACCUUCUGGGUUUAUGCUGGGUUUUAGUACAAUUUUAAAGGGAGAUAUAAUCCGGUGAGGUUUCUCAAGUCCAUGCAGAAGGCAGGGCUCUAUGCUCACCUUCGCAUUGGCCCUUAUGUUUGUGUUGAGUGGAACUUUGGGUAAUUCUUUUUCUCUAGAUCUAUAAUUUUGGCUUUUUUUCUUUCUUAUUUUUUAGGAUUUUCCACUCUCAUUCUAUUUUCCUCUCCUAAUUUUAGAAAAAAAGUAUUUAAUUUCUCUGAUUGUGUGGUUUGUAGGGGUUUUCCUAUUUGGCAUAGGCAAGUUUUGAUUUUUACUUUUCUUUUUUCUCACAGGGGGCUCUCGGAGAAGCAUGUAAUGGAGACACCACUUCUGUCAUUAUCUUUGGAAGUAUUUGAUGGUCGACUGGAUGAUCCUAUUAGCGUGUCCAUCCGAGGAGGUUUGUAUUCAUCUUUCCACUUUUUUGGGAAAAAUGUUUAGAAAUCAUAAAGAUGCUUUUGAAGAUAGGUAAGCAACAAUUUCUAAAAUUUUAGUGUAAUCUUUUUUCAUUAUGAAGUUCUUCUAAUGGUAAUUAGUGAUUUCAAACAAAUUCUGUGAAGUGAAAAGUGAAAUUUUGUAUGUUUAUCAUUCCAAUUUAUCUUUAUGCAGACUUUUUCUGUUGAAUGGAAAACAUACGUUUUUUUGUCUUUGUUUUUUUAUUUUUUAGUUUAUUGGUUGAUUCAUUUUAUGAUUGUUGAUAUGCAAGAUGCAAAGAUAAUUUCUUUGUUUCUAUAUAUUGUUACUAUAAGGGGUGGUUUGGGAGUGAGGUGCUUAAAAAAAAUGCACCCAUGAAAAAAAGUUGUUAGGGUUUUAGGUGUUUGGUAAACUAAAAAAAAAGGGCUUAUUUUGGAAGCUGUUGUGAGAAUAAGCUGAAAUCCAAAGGAAAAGCUGAAGCAUCUAUUUGCAGCUUUGGAAAACUGGUUUUUUUUUCAAAGCACACAAAGCUACAUUGCUCCUUUAAUGAAAAGACCCACUAUCAGACUGUUUUUUUUUUCCAAAAGCACUUUUACAAAAAAGUUUACCAAACACUCUGCUGAUUUAUUUCACAGCCGCUUAUUCUUACAGCACAGCUGCUUAUUCUCAUAACAGUUUUUUUUCAAAGCACAGCAAUACCAAAUCAGCCCUAAUUCUACCAAUAGAAACCGGUACUGUGAUUGUGGCAGUAAAUGAACCUAGUCAUUGUGGCAGUAGAUGAACCAUAACCAUGCCAGUUUGUAGCCUGCGAUUCUACUUGUGGUGGUUUAAUUUAGUUCUGUUUUCAGUUUCAGGAGAUCCUGAUUUUUCGUUCUUUGGGCCUUUGUUUGCAGCCUUCAAAGCCGUCUCUGCUCACGCCUUAUGAUUGUAGUGGUAAGCUUCCCUUUCAAAAAUUCCUUCCUUCCAGUAUUUAGGGAUUAUGAAGUGAUUUCUCUGCUUAAUAUGGGAUUAGGGUUACAUUUUUCUUAUAAUAAAAAUCUUUGUAUGCUACCCGGAAGCUUCCUUUUCAAAGAUUCUUUCUUUCCAGUAUUUAGGGAUUAUAAACUGAUUUCUCUGCUUAAUUUGUUCCAAAGUAUAAUGUAGAGAUUGCUUUAAUAUAUUGGCUUAUUGGCUGUAUGUCGAGUGUCUGAGAUAAGAUUUAGGAGAUCUAGUUUAGGUUUUGCAAAGAGAGAGAGAGAUAGGGGGUGUCCGAAAGAAAUGUGAGAGGGUUUAGGCGAGGGAUUUCAGGGAUUUGUUUAAGGUUCCUUUUCUGCAAUUUGCAGACAGAGAAAUGGGACAAGGGGGAUAGAGAGAUGUGAGGAUUUUCUGUGAGGGUAAAUGGGCAUUUCGUUUUCCAGUUGCUUCUUGAAACCCGAGAGAUUUCUACGAUUGUAGAGAGAGAUGGGGGUGUCCGUUAGGUGCCCUUUAAUUGUCACUUUUGUGAUUUGUCCAUCCUUGAUUGUUGUGUGAUUCAUUCUCAUGAAUGUUCUAUGCACAAGGUUUCAUAUUAUUCCUUCCUUUUGAUUUUGAUAUUGUUGUGCUUAAUUUCUGUUAUGUUUUAUUGGGUGAUUAGAUUAACAGACAUUGGAUAUUUUGGUACAAUAAUUUCACAUCAUGUGUUACCCUUUUGCAUCACCUUAAUUGUUCGUCACAUGCUAACUUUUAAUUAUGUUUUCUUUGGGUCAGUCUCUAUCUGGUAAAUUUGUCCAUCCUUCUGGAGUGGAGCACUAUCUUUCUGACAACAUAACUGCUCUGAGAAACUGCUAUGGAGACAAACAGUUGUUUACUCCGUUGUAGGUAUGUUUUUCUUAAGUAUUUUAGAAGGAUUCUUAACGCUUCCCCAUUAUAAUCUUAACCUUUGUAUCUAUCUCUCUCAAAAGACGAUGAGAGUAACAACUGUUGAAAAGCAAAUUCUCAAAUGUAUCUAAGCUUAUGCAUACAUUGGAUAAAAACUGAAUCUUAAAUUAGGGCAGUGAGUUUUGCAACAUCCUGGUGCUGCAUAUAUUGUCACACUUUUAAAAGUUGUAUAUCUCAGAUAUAUUGGGAAUUUAAUUAGUUUUAUGUCAUUUUCGUAGGGCAAUUUAGUAGAGAUUUAGCACAUAAAAGAAGAUGUGGGAAUCAGUACAAUUAACCUAAUAGUGAUUUGGUUCAAUGUAAAGACUACUGCUAGGGCACUCAAGUCAUUUUCUUAAUUUAUGCGCAUAUAUAUUAUACGUAACCAACACAUGUUUUCAAAUGAUGUUAGUGUUCAAGCUCUGCUGAUAUUUUAUUCUGUUCAUUUUGAUUUUGUUUUUCAGUUGUGGUUAUAGGAUUGUUUUGUCUAUUUUUUUUUCUUUUUUUUUUCCCCUAUGUACAACUUUUCUAAAAUUCAACUGUUCUCAAUUUGGUUAUUUGAACUGAGGCCUGUUAGGCUGUGCCUUUGGAAGGUCUCAUUGCUUUUAAAGUUGAAUGGUGCUAACUGAAUAUAAUGCGUUCAUUCUUCAGUGUGUGUGAGCGUAUGUGUAUGCAGUGUAUGUGAGUGCAUGCCGUGUGUGCAGUGUGUCACUUGGGCUGUUGGCUUUUUGAGGUAUGUUCAUUUAUAGAGAUUUUGUAACUGUAUUGUUGAAUUUUUAAUGUAUGCUUGGAUUUUAAAGGGGCACCAUAUUUAUGGGUUGUUGUACGAUUCUAGGGAGAUAUAGGGGAUUGAGAGGUCAUGCUAAGGAGAAUAUAUUACUUGCCACAAAGGAAUAUACUUCAUAUAAUAGCAAUGUGAUGAUGUGUGGCAUGCUUUAACUAAGGGAUAUUUUUGUGUAGUAAGAAAGCCAUAUAGAGUCACAUUUUUGUUUUUUCUUUUUUUUUUGGAUUUGGUAACUGAAAUUUUGUGUGAACUAAUGUUUCUUCUGUUUCUUAAGGAAACAUAACUUUUUUGGAAACCAUCUCUUUCUAAUCAAAGACGUUUAGUUUCUUCCCAUUCAUUGUACAAUGUAUUUAUAUGCCAGCUCACUUGAAUGUAUAUAAAAAAAACUAUUUGUUCAUAAUUGUGUUGAAUUUAUUCAACUUAAAUGUGUUUUAUUCAUCCGAUUACACCUGAAACAACAGGUUCCCGCAGCAACGCGCGGACAUAUUUUCUCGUCAAUUCUAAAGUUGGUGGGCAAUUGGCCUGUUCAUGGCUACAGUCAAGAAAAUGCCACUCGAUUUCACUCUACUUAAAAAAAGGCCAGCCAAAUUAGGCUGGGUUGGGAGGGUAAUUCUCAAAAAUUCAGAAGGUGAUUUUGUCUGUAUGGUUUAGCACGGAGCCACUCGAUUUCAUGCUAUUUACAACAAUACCAGCCGAAUGGAGCUGGAUUGGGAAUGUAAUUCUCAAAAGUUCCAGAGGGUAAUUUUGUUCGUUUGGUUUAGCACGGAUUGCUAGGUUACACGCGUGCGCUCCCUCUUCCUCUCUCUCCUACGUGAGCCCUCUCUCAUCUCUCACUUUUCCUGUUUCUGUCCUCCUCAAUCCCUAGCAGCCACAAUUCCAUCUCUUCCGUUUCUUUCAUCCCAAAACGGAAGAAAUAUGGAAAAUCAGGGUGUUCGUCACUGGAAUUUCCAAUGGGGAAGUUUCCUGGCCGACGAGCACACAGCUCCCCGAGAGGUUGGCGCCGGUUGAUACUUCCUGUCGGGCUUCUGCUUGUUGGGGGGCUUGUCGGGCAAGACUUGUCAGGCAAGGCUGAAAGAGAAAGACAAAGUUAACUCUGAAAAGUGCCUUUGUGGGGCCUUAGGUGUAGGCCUUGAGGCUCACAAUCAAAAUUAACUUUAGGUGCUCAGGCAUGCCACUGCCAUCUUUAGCAUGGUAGAUGUAAAACAUAUGUUGAGUUUAAUUAUAUUUGCCCGAGCCACCAAGUUUAGCUAUGAAAUGUGCCUUUUUAGGGCCUUAGGUAUAGGCCUUGAGGCUCGCAAUCAAAACCAACCAAGUACUCGAACAUAUAGAGGUUGUUUCAUUGUUGCAGAAGUAUUAUGACUGUUAUACUUUAAUCACCCGAGCCCGACGAACAGAAUGAACCCAAAUAGGUGCAUUUGUAGGGCCUUAGGUAUAGGCCUUGAGGCUUCCCAUCAGAAUUAAUUCAAUACUCAAACGUUCUAUGACAAUCAUAAUAUAACAGAGAUAAAACUAAGAAAUAGGUCGAUUACUUGCGCCCCAAGUAACUUCGGACUUUUUAUUAUCAAAAACUGUCGUGGAUGGGUUAAGUCCACAUAAGGUUCUUUUUUAUGCCUUGAGAUCAAGGACUUUUGAAUAAUUAAUCUUGUAUGCCUGAGAGGUUAGAACUUAGAUAUUCCAACUUAUCUUUUGCAUGGUUGGGCACUGUUAACCCGAUCGGAUUCAAGAACUGAGAAGUCUUUUAAUCAUAAACUUGCUAGAAAUAACUUGGAUACAAAUGGAAGUAUACAACAUAUUACUAGAUCUAUGAAUGAAAAAGACAGAACAAAGAGGGUCGUGCAAGGUUUCACCUUGUCGGGCAAGGCUGAUCGUCUUGCAACUUCCUAUCUUUUGUGAUUUACAAAGGGUUUGAGAGCUAAAAAAGGGAGAUUGGGAGAUGAUUUUACAGGAAAGAAUCGAUACUACAACAAGAUUUAGACAAGGUAGCAGAGCUUUUACAAAGGCUUUUAGUGAAGGUUGAUCCCGAAAGGGAUGAAGGCUUGAUGCUGACUACAACUUCGUUUGCAAAUCUAGCUUUGAGCAGAAUUUGUGUAUUUGUUUGUUUGUUUGAGUGUCCUUAUCUUUGAUUUCUCUUUCUUCUUUUAUAGACGAUUUGGCUUGGCCUCAUGUAACAUUUAAUCUUGUCCGAAUGUAACUUGAAGGGUAGUGACUCAUCAGCUAUUUACUUGUACUGUCAUUGUAAAGUACUUUUGGGUUGAUUAGCUGGCUGGUCUACACCACUUGACUUCUAGGUAGGUGAGCAAGUGGCUCAAAUGAUCUGCACUUAAUCGAAAAAGGGCAUUUUCUGCCUUCUGGGCUUCGGCUGAACUUCAGGUUUCUUUUCUUCUAGACCUUCUUUUGGGCUUAACUACAUUUUGAGCCCAAAGUUAAGUUUUAACCUGACAUAGGGCUCUUCCAUUUGCUUCCACGGAUUUCUCGAGCUCCAGAUUGCUAGCCUCCGUAUGAAGGUUCGUCUCUCUCUCUCACUUUUUUUUUUCAAUUCGUGAUCGAAUUUUCUUUCCAAGAAUGUUUGAUCUAUUGCCUUCGGAAAGAAUGCCCUGCAUUUUUCUGCCUUUUUCUUUUUAGUGAUUUUUUUUCCUGAUGAGAAUGCAAGUUUUGGAUUUAUUGAUCUUCGAUUCCGCCUCCCCUCUCCUCUACCUGACCCUCCUCUUCUCCCUCCUCCUCUUCCUCUCCUACUUCUUCUUUCUCACUCCCAAUUCCCUCUUCCUCCAGACCUCACUUUCCAUUUCCCCAAAAGUUCCUUCGGUUCUGCAUCAACACGCGGUUGCUCUCGGCAGUUGCCCAAAGUUUCGAAUUUUGAGCCCUGAUGAGAUCAAGAUUUCGGUCUGGAAUCAUACAGUUAACUCAUUCGUAGUGGGAGGUAUGUGGGUUUUCCCCUGUUUCUCAUCCUUUUGCUCUAAUUUGGGGCAAAACUGUAGAAUUCUAUGCAUCUCUGUGUGUGUCUUGGUGUAAUUUAUGUGUAGUCUAUCAAUUUUUGGUGGAGAUACUGAACAUUUCGGCUUUGUUUCUAUAGUUUGUAUUCUAGAUUUGCAAUUUAUAUGAUAUGUUGGUGAUUUGUUUGCUUUUCAUCCUUCCGGAGCAAUAACAUUACAAUUUCGAUUUUUGGCAUCGGAUAUCAUAGGAGUUUACUUACAUGAAUUUGUUUUUAGCAGUUGUUAAUUAGAAUUGGCUAAUUCUUUUACUAAGAAUUUUUUUUUACUCACUCUGUUGGUUCUUCUUCAUAUAAGUACAUAGAAAACGCAUCAAAGACUGAUUAGAAUUAGUUAGCUUAUGGGUGUGUUAACAUGUUUAAGUAGUAGUACUUAAACUCAAAAGAUGCUGGAGUGUUUCUUUCAUUAAUAAUUUGUAUUGAACUCAGCAUUUCAUAAGAGUCGAACCUGAGAGCUUUGUGGAAAGGAAUAAAACAAGAUCGUACCAUUUUAUGUAUGUUUGAUUACAUUGCUUAUAAUUAGUAAUAAUUACAUUUUAUGGACAUUGUAGCUUUCAUGGAGUUCCUUGCUCAAGCAUGUGUGAAGAGGCUAUUUUUUUUCCUUCUGGUUUGUUCACUGUUCAGUUGUGGUUCAGUUCUCCACCUUUUGGUUGGAGUACAACAGAUGCUUUUAAAUUAUUAAAUUAGGAGAGCUAAGAAGAUAUUUUGUGCUAAUUGCUAUUUGAUAACUCUGGUUUUCUCUUUUGGCUACCACCUUGCUCUCUCUCCAUUUCUCUUUUUCCUCCUGCUCUGCUGGUUUUUCUGUGUUACAACCUCUCUGCAAAAACCAGACUGUAUGUGUUUUGCAUGUAUUUGUUCAUGCUUCUAUUGUUUGUUGUUGUGGUGGUGACCCUGUGAAUGGAAUUCUCAGUUAUCUAUUCCUCUAGAAUUAUACAUGAUGCAUCUGAUUUUUGUUCAUCGACAGAUGAUGCCACAUGCUUGAGAUUUUUAUGCCAUCACUCUGUUGGUUCUUUUGUGAUUGUUAUUGAUUGUUUUAAAAUGUGUAUGAUGUGUGUGAUGCGCAAAUUAGAGCAGAGGUUUCUACAUGUGGUUUUAAAUUGAGCAGAGGCGAUAAUUUUUUUUAUUAGAGAAGGAAUCAUUGAGGUCACUUUAGAAAAUGGAUGGGUGUCUGGUUAUUUUGUCAUUUGAGUGGUGUAGCUUUGUUAUGAUCUCUGUUCCGGCACUGUGUGAUUAGUGUUAAUGGUUUUUCAACACUGUUUGUAACCUAUUAUUUUCGUUGUUGUCAUGUAACUUAGUGUUGAUGGCUGUGUUUGUGAUUUUCAGAAAUUUGGAUCGUUAGAGGGAGUCUUAGUAUCACCGUUCUGCGACGGAUUAAGUUUAUGUCACGGCCUCAAUACAUUUUAUGGGUGGAGAUGAGUGGUACAAUUUUUUGGUUUUAGCACAUUUUUGUGUUUGUUGGAAGGUCUCAAUUACUUUUUUUAGAUAAUCUAUGGUCUCAGAUGGAAGAGUUGAAUGCAAAACAGGUCAUGAUGACAAAUGAUACGUUCCCGUUAUUAGUUGCUUUUCUUUCGUGAAAUGUAAUUUUGUCGUAGAUUAAGUUUGUUGCACCAUCACAGAUUAAGUUCAUUGCACUGUCACAGAUUGAGUUCAUUGCACUGUUACAGAUUGAGGUACUUUUCCUGUGUCCGUUUGUUUGCGCUUUGAAUUCUUACUCUGAAUCUCAUUUUUGCAGUUUAGAUUGGACUAGCAUUGCAACAUUGUGAUCUACUCUUGCUGCUGCCUUUGAUCUUGGGGUUCGGAGCGAUUGCACUUGAAUCAAGGCUCUGGUAGUGAACUUUCUCAUUCUUCCCGAAGUGCUUUAAUAUGUGUUGUUGAUAACUGCGCUCUCUCAAUGAACCAGAAAUAUUUUUAGACAAAUCACAACUUCCAUAUUUAAGAAAAUGAGUGGCUUUUUAACAAUGCAUGAAUGUAGCUUACAUGUUCAGAAAAAUUCAUGGAUAUUUACAUUCAACCCGCAAGUAUCAUUAACUCAUAAAAAAUUAAGUUUAAUUCAUGGAUGUUUACAUUGAACCCACAAGAAUAUCAUAAAAAAUUAUGUUUUGUAUUUUCUUUAUCGCGUGUCGCUUCAAAUUUUUAUCUAAAACAUUGUCGAAAUGCUUAUUGGUUACUUUUUAUGUCCUUCUGUUCAUUCAUGAUUGUGUUGAAUUUACUUAGGUCCCGCCGCAACGCGCGGGCCUAUUUUCUAGUUUAAACUAAAGUAAAGAAAAGUUAGAAAACUGAUUAACAGGAAGAAAGGAAAAUACUUCAGACUUCGGACUCUUCACAGUUAGCGGUAAGAAGACGAAGCAACACAGACUCGACCUCCUUAUAAAUGUCAAAUCUGUUCUUCCAAUCUCUUAUUUUUGGAUCAGGUUCUCCGGUCUGCUAAAAGGCUCUUCGAUUUAUUCAAUUAGUCACUCAUGUGUUUGGACGACGGCGAUGUUGCUGCAGAGACAGUGAGUUGUGACAGAGCAGGAGAGUUUCAGGUACCAACUAGCUGCCCAACGCCCAUCUAGGCCGCCCAAGUACCUGCCUAGGCCGACCAACGACCGCCUAAUUCUUUUUCCGAUUUUUCUUUCGAUUUUGGUUAAAUCCCAACGGCUAACCAUCACCCAGCACCUAGGUGCCGCCUAGGUCGAUUUUUUAAAACACUGAUAUAUAUAUAUAUAUAUAUAUAUAUAUAUAUAUAUAUAUAUAGAUUUUUCCUCGCGUUACACUAUAAAAAAAUAAAAUAAAACAACAACAACAACAACAAUGCUAAGUUCUAGGUAAAUGACUCAAAAGAAUUAUAAGUAUGAGAUUGAGGUGGGUCCUGACACAAAGACUACUUCCCUGUCAUGUUCAUCUACCUAAAUUUGAAAUCUUUUUGUAGUGGCGUUUAAAAAUUCCCUCAGAGUGAGAGCUUUUCUCUUCUUGAGAGUUUCCCAUCUUAAAACUUCUUCCUUUCUUCAGAAAGGAUUUGACCAAACAAAAGAAAAGUGAUAUCUUUUCCACCAAGAAUUUAGAAUUAUUAUAAAGGAAUAGAUUCAUAUGUUGUCGUCAGACAAAUAAAAAUACGUUUUUCUUUUUAAUACAUCGAUAUUUUUACACUAAGAGAUCGAUAGCCACACAUAAUUGAUAACUUAAUUUGGUAUCGAAUUUGCCAUCCACGAAUUCGAACCUAAGAACUGUCACUUCCAAGUAAAAAGGAAUAUCAUUAAACUGUAGUACUGAGUAGCAUAAAAACACGAACGCGUAUUAUAUAUUAUUAAAUACAAAAGUCCAACCACAUGUCAAAUGUCGCUAGUUGCAAUAUAAUCUUCUAAGGUCAUAAUUGAUUAAAGUAUCAAAUGUGGCUGCUAAAAUGACUCAAAAGAAAUUAAAGUAUCAGCUCGAGGUGGGUCCUGACACAAAGACUACCUCCUUGUCCUUGAACAAGUUCGUCGACCUAAAAUUGAUAUCUUUUACACCAAGAAAUUAGAAUUAUUAUAAAGGAAUAUAUUCAUACGCUAUAGUCCGACUAAUAAAACACGUAUUAUAUAUUAUUACAAAUCAACGUGCAUUAACAAAGAAAUAUAAAAGGAAAUGCCGGAUUUGUCAACUUGAUGUCGAGAGCAGUGACAUAAUCGCCGUCCAAUUGGAAGAUUCUCGAAUCAAUAUGUACAAGAAAGGAAGAGAAGUUGAAUAUCUCCAUGUCCGGAGUCUUUGACGACUGCUUCUCCUCUGCAUUUUCUGUCUAUAAAUACUCAAUCUGCUAGUCUGCUUCUUCACCCACUAUUCACACUCACACUCACCGCUUUUUGUAACCUUAGAAACUUUGUUCAAAUCUGAUCAGCCUUCAAUGGCGGAUGAGGUGGUGUUGUUGGGUUUCUGGUCAAGCCCAUUUGGGAUAAGACUGAGGAUUGCUCUGGCUGAGAAGGGCAUUGUGUAUGAGUACAAAGAAGAGGAUAUUUGGAACAAGAGCCCACUGUUGCUGCAGAUGAACCCGGUUCACAAGAAGAUCCCGGUUCUCAUUCACAAUGGAAAACCGGUCUCCGAGUCCCUCAUUGCGCUUCAGUACAUUGACGAAGUUUGGAAUGAUAAGGCUCCACUCUUGCCCUCUGACUCUUACCUCAGAGCCCAGGCCAGGUUCUGGGCUGACUUCGUCGACAAGAAGGUGAUUUUUACUCAUUAAUUUACUUAUUUGCAGUAUUUUUGUUUUGCUUUGAAUAUUUUUGGUUUGAAACAAUUGAAAACAUGGGAAAUAGAUCAUCUGGUUAUAUUUUUUAUGUUUAAAUGUUGAGAGUAUCUGGCAUAAGUGCUUAAAACCACACACGUUGCUAAUUGGUUUUAGGUUAAAUGCUUACGGAUAUUUGAGCUGGUAAUUAAACAAUGUUGUUUCAGAAUUUUAAGAUUAAAAGUGUUUAGGGUGUAACGGUUUUACCAUUUAGGAUUUGUAUUAGAAGGAAAACUAAAUGGAAAUUAGAUCUCUGUUUAUGUUUUCAUGGUUAAUAUUACGCUCGCUUUUAAAACAUGGUUGAUUAAGGUUUCAUGUUACAGUUUCGGGUUUAAGGUUUAAGGUUUGUGAUGUAUAUUUGAAAGAUAUCAGCAGAAGAUCUGAACUUGCUCAAAACAAUGUAUAUUAAUUUCCCUGAAUUUUUGGGGAUGUGAAAUGCAGAUAUUUGAGUUUGGGAGGAAGCUUUGGGCAACCAAAGGAGAAGAACAAAAUGCAGCAAUAAAAGAAUUUCUCGACUUCAUUGGCGUGUUAGAAAGAGAGCUUGGAGACAAGCCUUUCUUUGGGGGGGACACCCUCGGAUUCGUGGACGUGACGCUUAUUUCAUACUAUAGCUGGUUUCUUGAGUAUGAGAAAUUUGGCAACUUUAGUGUUGAGGCAGAGCACCCAGAAUUUAUUGCCUGGGUUAAGAGGUGCAUGGAGAAGGAGAGCGUGUCCAAGUCACUUCCCGAGCAGGAAAAGGUCUACGAUUACGCAAUGUUUUUAAGGAAAAAGUUUGGAAUUGAGUAGAUUUUGGUCGAAGCCUGCAAGAAGCUAUUGAUGAUCAGUGUCAUUCCAACUUGUUUGGUCGUGUGGUUGUUCUGUCUUUCAAGAUUCAACCCGUUUUGGGUUGUUGAACUAGAAUAAAAGGGCACUUGACAAGCCUUGUACUGUAAGAGGCACUGUAUUGUGCCUCAGGUCGUAUGUUUAUUUUGCUUAUGUAGUCGGCUUAUCACACCUGUCAACUUGUUAUGUAAGGGAUCUAAAUCUACUUGAUCAAAUUUCUUAUUUUGUAACCACUUCAUAUCCAACAAUGGAUUAUUGGUUGCCACUAAUUGUGUUUAAUUAUGAGUCUAUCUCUCUUAUCAGGUAACAAAGACCAAAAUUUAUUGGCCAAUUCUUGUUUCAUAACCGUAUAGAAUCAACCAGUAAUAUCUUCUACAUAUACAUUUAUGUUCUUGUAAUUUGAUUCAUAAAUCAUUUUUGUCAAUAUAGUGCACAUCCGGUCAACAAGUGACUUGUCCGUACCUAUAUGAACCUACUUCAUGAGAUCCCCAUGCACAUAAGUUUAAGUUUAUGCAUUAAUUUGAUAUAAUCUUGGCCAAUUAGCCGCAAUAGACAUGUUGUGAUAUUUGGUUGCACUUUUGAUUACACUUCCUAAAAAUUGCUCUUUUGAUGAAUUUUGCCUGUGAAAAGUUCAUAGUGCCCUUCAUUAAUAAAAAAGGGUGCGACAAUAUAGACACCCAACUUCCAACGACACCCCCCACCCCUCCUUCGUUUUUGAUGAUUAACUACCACUUAGACAACACCACAACGAUACCACAACUACACUCUAAUAAUUUAAAAAAAAGAAAAAUUAAUGAAAAAGACUUGAAAACUUUGCGUUUUAACGAUAAGGACAAAAUAAAGGGUAAAGUGAAUAGUACCAAGAUUGACUUUUUAAUGUUAAAAUGUGGUUUUUCGUUAAAGUGAACAGUACCGGGAGCUUUUCGUUAAAGUUCCCUUAAAAAAAAACGACCAAAAACUCAUUUUCAAAGAACCUCAUUUAACCAAAAAGGACUUACAUUUCGAUUUGAUUUAAACCAAAAGCCUCAUGAUUUAGAACAACCACUGCAACAACAAUAAUCUGAGAAGCUACAAACUCCAACGAUACUCCUCAUUUUAUGAUUUUAAACCCAGCACAACCAUAACAACAAUCUAAUGACACCACAACGCUGCUCCUACUUUUAUGAUUUUGAACCAACACAAUCACAACAACAAUCUAAUGAUGUCCAAAUGAUACACCCCCGUUUUUAUUUUAUUUUGAACAACCUCAGCCGCAAUAAUUCAUUGAAGGAACCCUCACCUUCUUCAUUCCCCAACCACCAAAACCAAAUUUCAAAUCCAAAAAUCGAAUAAUGAGCUAAAGCAAGAUGAGAGACAGAGAGACAGAGAGAGAAGAAGAAGAAGAAUGGAUCAGAGAGGUGGAGUAAUAAGAAGCUUACCUACUUCCAUGGUGUCCUAGAUGUUAUUCGCCGCUCCAAAUUUGAUUAGUCAAAGAGGAGCAACCAAAGAAGGGAUUUGACGGUGUUGUUGGGUGUUGCUGGUUUUUUUUUUAUCAAUGAAGGGCAGUAUGGGCUUUUCACAUGCAAAAUUGAUCAAAAGAGCGAUUUUUAAAAAGUGUGAUAAAAAGUUCAACCACAUAUCAAAACUUGUCUAAUGUGCCUAAUUGCAAUAUAAUCUUCUAAGGUCAUAAUUGAAUCUAACCUCUUAACAAAACCACUAAAGCUAGUGAUGGUAACUCAUAAGUUAUAUUGGCCAAUACAUUGUCCGACGACUUAUUACUAUAAAAGCAGUUAAGCAUGAUAGUAACUGACACGCCCCGAUCCUGAUGUCCGAGGGACAUUGGGAUGGCCACGUGCUGGACGACACUCGAGGAUGACGAAAGCCAUUUAAUGAAUGCAUGUGCUAAGAACAUGUAAAACAUGUGUAUAAAUUUUGUGCGUGACUACGCAAGUAAUACUCAAAUAUACGUUUUACAAAAUACCAUAAUAAUAUUCAACUACCAACAAUGAAUAUAAUGCUAAUGUUUGACAUGUCCAGAGAAUACAUCUAAUUCAGAGUACAAGCGACAGAUAAAAUAGAGAGGUGCUAUUACAAUAGAAGUCAAAGCAAAGGGAAUGACGCAGUAUCACUGGUAUGGGAAUGCCUCGUACGUUACGUUAGAUCGUAUUCCUCGUUCCUAUGUCCUGAGGGGGCGUAAAACAAACAUGAGUGGACCAAGUUGAUAUAUAUAUAUAUAUAUAUAAUAAAACAGUUAUUCAACAUAUUAACUCCCAAAGUUUUAUGAAAACUAAUAGCAUAAUAGGUGAUAGAUUUGCCGAAAACCCUAGCAUGCCAUAAAACCUUUCAUAAAACAUAUAUCGUAGAUAGUGUGAUAACUAGUGGUAUCAGUAUCACCCGAAGGCAUAUAGAACUUUUCCUUCAUAACACUUCAUUCACAAGUAUUAAUCGCCUGUAGGCUCUUACAGCACCCAACUUGAAGGUCAAUAUAAGUAUCAAUUGCCCGUAGGCUCCUACAGCACCUAACCCAAAGGUCAAUAUAAGUAUCAUCGCCCGUAGGCAGGACCUAACCCAAAGGUCAAUAUAAGUAUCAUCACCCAAAGGUCAAUAUACUCUUUCCAAACAUAGGUACAUAUAUCUCAAAAUCAUCUUCAUAGUAUAAAGUCAUGCGUCAUCUAUACUAUAAAGAAGUGUGUAAAAGCAUGUUCUAAAUAGUAUAUAGUCAUCCAUCAUAUCUACUACAAAGAACAUCAGUUCGACAGAAUAUGAUAUUCCAAAAUAUUCGCAGUAAGCAUAAUAUCUCAUAAAACGUAAUCAUUAAACCAUGUUUUUCAUGUAACGACCCGCCCCUAAAAAUUAUAGUUUUUAUAAUUUUAAAAUGUGAAUAUACAAAAAUGCCUUUCGAGGCAAAUAUGUUGACUUUUGUUGCCACUUUGUUGUGUCAAGUAAGAAUCAUUUUCUUGGUGUAUUUGGAUAGUACUCGUCGCUACGAAUGCGAAGGCAUAAACGGAACAUGAUUUGAAGUUAUAACGAAGAAGUUAUGGGCGAGUAAAAAUAGGGACAAAAUAGUCAUUUAAAUAUUUUUUGAAAGGCUCUAGAUUUUGGAGAAAAAUCUGGAAAGCCACAUGUGUGGCCCAGAUUGAAAGAAAUGAGAAACAGAUGGAUGGAAGAGAAAAUAAAUGAGAGAAAAGAGGGAGGGUGAGGACCAAUCAGGAGAAGGGAGAGGGUGAGUGACCAAUUAGAGAGGAGAGAAAGGAAGGGAAAGGAGAAAGAGGAGGAGCACCAGAUCACCCUUGACCCGGUUCCUCCCCGUCGACCCAACCCGAUUUCUACACACCCCGAUGCCAAUUCUGGCAUUUUCCUGGCAAAUUGACCGUCGCCACCACCUACACACGAGUACACAACACUUCUUUUUCAACUUCCAUCCCAAGCCCAAUGGUUUUUGGUCUUGUUUUCGUGGAGAUGGCAUUGGCGGCACCGUGGGGGGAGAUCGGUAGAAAUCUGCCAUUUCUGAAGGUAAACCCUGCGACUACUAUCACCAUUAGCCUUUCCUUGAACCCAGGAACAAUUUCCAAUCAUUGGUUAGAGCAUCGGAGUCAAUUUGAGGACGAAUUAAGAAACACCCUUUAUAGGGUUUCCGACCUGUUUUAGUGAAAUUGGGGCUUUUCCCGGCCAAAUUGGCCUUAGUCACAUGUAUGAAAGUUGCUCCAUUCAUCGAGAUCUUCAUUUCUAUAAAAUUUUGGAAUUUUUGGAGUUGUUUGAUUCUCCGGCGAGUCGGGGCGGGUGGCCACCACAUGUGGCGGCGCGUGGAGGAAAAACCUGAGGUUCCUCGAUGUGCCGAAUCCGAAUCCGCCAUCCGUUUUCCCAAAUUCUAACAUUUAAGUAAAGUUUUAGUAAAAGGUCCUUAAUUGUGUUUAGACGCGUUGAUGGGAAACAACGUCAUUCUCAAUAGUUCGAGCGGCUUUCGGGCGAUGGAAAACUUGUGAGUGGACCCCUUAUUAACUAUAUAUUUUUAUAAAUUAUUAACCUAGCAUGCAUUUCAUAUUUCAUGCUUUGAAUAUGCUUUAUAUUAUGUUUUUUGGGAUUUUCUAUAAUUAUGGUUUAUAUAGAAUUCAUGAUUUAAUUGCUUUACGGAAUAUUUAUAAUUUAUCGAAUUUAUGUUUAAUAGUGGUGAUGAAUUAUUGGUUUUGGAUAUAUGAAACCCUUGGUUUUACGAAUAUGUUUUAUAUACGAUUUAUGCGACGAGAUUUUGGUACUUACCUAAUGGGUUAUCAUACGGCACAUCCGCACAUCACGGGCAUUAUGUCUAUGGCCAUAGGUCACAAAUGAUGGAGGAGUGAGAUAUGAUAUAUUAUAUACCCCCAGCUUCACCACCGAAAGCAGUGUCGGACUGCUUCACUAGCCACGGCUAGUGUCGGUGUGGAUGUAUGCUAUUUUAUACAGCAUCACCUUCGGGUGAUGGACAUGUUAUACAACUUCACCUUUGGGUGAUGAACAUAUUCUUCAGCUUCACCUUCGAGUGACGGACAAGUACUGCCUUCGGGCGACUAUGAUACCCCUCGUUGAGUAAAACAUGAAUAUGAUUUACGAUGUUUCACAAAUGUUUUACACUACAUGCUAGGGUUUUUCAUAAAACCUACUAUGUAGAAUUAUAUAUUUGUUUUCAAAACAGGGGGUUAUUAUGUUCAAAAAUAAAAUAUUUUCCUAUUAUUAGUAUUAUUAUUAUAAACUCUGGUCCACUCACCUUUUUUGUUUUGCGUCCCCUUUAGGAUUUAAAUUCGAGGCACAUAAUCCCGACGUCAGGACACUUCUACAUAUGUAUUCUAGAGUCUUCUCAGUAUAGGUAUCAUUCAUUUGUUCGUAUAUUUUCCUAGUAAUUCUUCCAUAUUAUUCUUAGUAGUUGUAUGCUCUGAACACGUUCUUGCCAUGAUAUUUUACGUUUUAAUUGCAUAUCUUUUACUUAAAUACAUGUUUAAAAUGGCUUCGUCACCCUCAGGUGUCGACCAUCACGUGUCUACCCUGAUAUUUAGGGAUAUCGGGGUUGGGGCGUGUCAUUUCAUGUAUGCAUUGUACUAUUAAAACAUGCAUUUUAGAAGGGGUCCACUCACAGAUACUCCAUCAUCGAAGAGCCGUAAGAAAUAGGAAUGACGAAAUCGCUGCUAAUAAUUGCACCUAAGCACAUAAAGGGUACAAUUAAUAAAACUAUACUCAAACGAUUGAAUUUCGAAAAAUGGAAGUCAUAAACGAAUUCAAGAUGUCGAAAAACAUAAAAAGGGACCUCAGGUACCCCCACACACCAUCACACGCCUCCGCAAGGUGGUAGCUCCGGCACUCAUGCACCGCCGUGGGUCGCCGAAAAAUUCGUCGACUAGACUGUGGCUCCACGCGUCGGCACCAGUGCCCCUUCAUGCGCAGGCCCACGCGCCUUCACGCGCAGCCUGGGGUUCCUGGGUUCUCUGGUUUUGGGCCUGGGCUUUGAGCUUGAGCCGAAGGGUUUCUGGGCUUAAAUGGUUGGGCCUCACGGGCCUAGGGUCAACAAGUCAAAGGCCCAAGUUGCUCAGCUUAAGGGCCUGGGGUCCAAGGUUUUCAGAAGGGUUGGGGUCUUGGGGUUAACGGGCAGGAGGCCCAAGUUCCACUCGGUCCCAAGGUCGGUUCUUUGGGGUUUUUGGGUUAGGGUUUCAAGGGAAUUCGGCUCAGAUGCAACGACCCAAAGGCCCAAAUCUACAUGGCCUUAUGGGCCUGGGUUUGGUGGGUUAAAGGGUUGGGCUUUAAGGCCAGGCCCAAGGCUCUGGGCUAAAGGACCUAGGCUUGGGGUUUUGGGUCUAGCCGACCUAAAAGCCUGGUUUCGACGGAAAAAGGAAGCUGGAGCUUCCCAAGCUCCAAUCGGCCUCAAUCUUCUACUCUAGCAUGCAAUCUACCUAUCAAAUUGAAGCUUAGGAGAAGAGGAAGAGAUUCAUACCUUUGGCACAAUGAAUGGUGGCCGAAGUUGGUCGAAAUCUGUGUUCGAAGGUCAUGGGCUCGUCAAGGAGUUUUUGGGUAGACUAUGGGUGUCCCGUGCUUCACAAAGAUGAGGGAGAGGGAGAGGGAGAAGGAGUCCACGAUGGUGGUGGUGGUGUCGACGUUGAGGAUGUUUUGGGGUGUGUGGGUGUUUGUGUGUCUCACCGGAGAGAAGAGGGAGGGUGAAUUGUGAGAGAGAUCCGAGAGUGAGAUAGAUAGUGGAAGUGAGUGAAAGAGCUCGGGGAGAAGAGAGAGAAGGAGGUAGUGGGUGAGUACUUGCCAUGUGACAAGCAGAGAGAGGUGGAGAAGUUUAGAAAAUCUGAAAAUGAGGAUUUUGAUUGGGUGAGGAUAGGGGACUAAAAUGUAAAUUUCAAAAAAUCUUUAGGGAAAUUGUGAAAUUUACAAUAAUUUGGGGGUGGGGUUUAACAAUAACCCAUAUUGCUAGAUAACUUUAUUCUUAUAGUCAAGGUCAUAUCUACUCCUUGUCGAGGCUUCUUACCGAACUCGACUUCCUCAUGCUAUUAAUUGUCCACACUUUCGUUAUUAUUAUGGUGUGACUGUUCUCACUUACUUUUACUGGGUUAGAGACCUAUGAAUUGAUUGGUGAAUAUAAUUUAAAUGUGUGUUUUCACCAAUGUAAUAUAUAUAUAUAUAUAUAUAUAUAUAUAUAUAUAUAGAGAGAGAGAGAGAGAGAAAGAAAGAAAGAGAGAGAGAAAGAGAAAGAGAGAGAGAGUUUUUCUAGCGUUACACUUAAAAUUCAAAUAAAAAAAAUAAAAAACAAUGCUGAGUUCUAGGUAAAAUGACUCAAAAGAAUUAAAGUAUGAGAUCUAGGUGGGUCCUGACACAAAGACUACUUCCCUGUCAUGUUCGUCUACCUAAAAUUGAUAUCUUUUCGUAAUGGCAUUUAAAAACUCUCUCCGAGUGUGAGAGCUUUUCUCUUUUCUUGAGAGUCUUUCCCACCUUUAGUGUGUGUAGCUUCCAACUCGUCGAUUUUGUUGUCACCGACCCUCUCUGAGGUGAGGGUUGGUGGUUGCUCUGGCCGUUUUCUUUCUCCUUUCUCCUUUCGUUCCUUUUGCUUCCUCUCUCCCCAUAUUUCCUCCCCGUUUUAUCCAGUCUGGUAUACCUUUUGGGCGUCCAUCUUCUUCGCUUCCGUUCCGGUCUGCUAUCAGGUUUCAACCCAUUUUGUUGCACUCUUCCGAGAAGGUGUGUCAAGUUACGGUUACGCCGGCUCAAGUGUUUACAACACCACCUCUUUCUUUUUGUCUGCCUUUGUUGGCAGUGUUAUCCAUGGUAUUCCCAUGGGCUUCUUUCGUUUUUUGGCUGGGACCGGUGAAUCGUUCGUGGUUGGGAGAUAAGAUAUCUCUUUGUUUCAUCUCUACGGUGUUGCUUGGUGGAAGAUGUGGUGUCGAUUUGGGUAAUUGGUUUUGGAUGAUUGGGAAGCACUGUUGCAGCAGUGGAAGCAAACUGGAAUGUUCCGGAGCUCUGUAUCAGAAUGUAGGCUUUGGGUUGGGCUUUUGUAAGAUAGUUCGGGUACCCCUUUUUGUAUUGUUAAUAUUUGUUUGUGGGAAUUUGUCUUGUAAUUAACUUUUAUAAUAAAACAUCUUCCUUUCUUCGGAAAGGAUUUGACAAAAAAAAAAAAGAAAAUUGAUAUCUUUUCCACCAAGAAUUUAGAAUUAUUAUAAAGGAAUAGAUUCAUAUGCUGUCAAACAAAUAAAAAUACGUUUUUUUUUUUAAUACAUCGAUACUUUUUGUACUAAGAGAUUGAUAGUCACACAAUAGGCAACUUAAUUUGAUAUUGAAUUUGUCAUCCAUGUGAUUCAAACCUAAAACAUGUCACUUCCAAGUGAAGAGGAAUACACCAGACCGUAGUACUGAGUCACAUAAAAACACGAACACGUAUUAUAUAUUAUUAAAUACAAAAGGAAAAAUGCCGGAUUUGAUGUCGAAGGCAGUCACAUAAUCGCCAUCCAGUUGGAAGAUUCCGGAAUAUAUACGUACAAAAAAUAGGAAGAGAAGUAGAAUCUUUUCAUGUCCGGAGUCUUUGAUGAUUGCUUCCCCUUCGAUUUUGUCUAUAAAUAAACAAUCUGCUCGUCUGCUUAUACACCCACUACUCACUCAGAGUCUCCGCUUUUUUGUAACCUUAGAAACUUUGUUCAAAUCUGAUCAACCUUCAAUGGCGGAUGAGGUGGUGUUGUUGGAUUUCUGGCCAAGCCCAUUUGGGAUGAGACUGAGGAUUGCUCUGGCUGAGAAGGGCAUCGAGUAUGAGUACAAAGAUGAGGACUUGUGGAACAAGAGCCCACUGUUGCUGCAGAUGAACCCGGUUCUCAUUCACAAUGGAAAACCGGUUUCUGAGUCCCUCAUUGCGCUUCAGUACAUUGGUUUGGAAUGACUCCACUCUUGCCCUCUGACUCUUACCUCAGAGCCCAGGCCAGGUUCUGGGCUGACUACGUCCACAUGAAGGUGAUUUUUACUCAUUAAUUUACUUAUUUGUACUAUUUUAAUUUGUUUUGAAUAUGUUUGGUUUGAAACAAUUGAAAACAUGGGAAAUAGAUUAUCUGGUUAUAUUUUUUAUGUGUAAAUGUUGAGAGUGUCUAGCAUAAGUGCUUAAAAUCUCACGUGUUGCUAACAAUGGCGGAUCCAAGAAAUAUUAUUAGGGAGGUCAGUAAGAAUAGCAAGCGCGGCGCGCAAUUUUUUUUUUAUAACAAAACUAGCAUGCAUAUUGCUAUUUCAUUGGGUCUUGGUAGACUUGAAGUCAUUUGUAAAGGUAUACUGCACACCUGUUAAUGCCUCAUUUGCGUGGGUAACUAACAUGUUCCAAGGCUACUCUCACAUGAAUGUUUAACAAAGGAAUAACAAAUUAAUUGAUAACAUUGCAUCCCAUUAAUAUGUUAGUCCAAGAAUGAUGAUGCUUUGUUCAUUCUUUGAGAUUACCAUUUCAUUUACUUUGCAUUUUUGGAUAGUCUUUUACUUGGUUCUUUUUUUUCUUCCUACAAUUGUAAUCACAACCAACAAACAAGUCAGAGGUAAAUAAUAUUAGGACUAGACUGUAAAGGGGCAUCACCUCUCUAAUGCAUUUAUCAAGCAGUUGGAAAGCAUAUAUGAAGGGCAACUCCAACCUUCACAGGGGCAGCAUCCAAGUCAUCAAUUGAGAUUCACCGAAGUUCGAAGGGUCAGCUGACCCCCCUUGUCCCUAAGUCGUUCCGCCAUUGGUUGCUAAUUGGUUUUAGGUACGGAUAUUUGAGCUGGUAAAUAAGAGAAUGUUGUUUUAGAACUUUAAGAUUAAAAGUGUUUAGGGUGUAACGGUUUUACCAUUUAGGAUUCGUAUUAGAAGGACAACUAAAUGGAAACUGGAUCUCCGUUCAUGUUUUCAGGGUUAAUAUUAUGUUCUCUUUUAAAACAUAGUUGAUUAAGGUUUCAUGUUACGGUUUCGGGUUUAAGGUUUAAGGUUUGUGAUGCAUAUUUAAAAGAUAUAAGCAGAUCUGAACUUGCUCAAAACAAUGUAUAUUAAUUUCCCUGAAAUUUAAGGGAUGUGAAAUGCAGAUGUAUGAUAUUGGGAAGAAGCUGUGGACAACCAAAGGAGAAGAACAUAUUGAAUAUUAUUGAAUAUUCUUUAAACCCUAAUAGCAGUAAAGCUGUGUUUAGCUAGGGUUUAGUGAGCUGUGUUAUUCCCUCUUCGGUGUAAAGCUUGUUAAUAAGCUGUAAAGCAUGUGUUAGAGAGUGUGGAGGUCAUCAUACUCUCAUGCUUGCUUAGCUGACUUGCUUAGCUGCCAUUGUCCCCUACUCUCCUCUCUCUUUCCCGAUUAUUCUUCUAUUUAUGCUUAAUCUUGUAAACUGUUUGAUACAAUGAAAUAUACAUUAAGGUUUUCUAUAUGGUAUCAGAGCAGUGAUCCCUCGUGGACCUGCAUCUGUGUUCUUCCGAAAUCCUACCAAAUUCAAACCAGUUAAAGCCAUUAUGGCAACAUCAUCAGAGAAAGUUUCAAAAAACGAAACUAUGGAUACCAACCUAAUUCAACGUUUGAGCUCAGUGCUCCUAAACGAAUUCAACUAUCUGCCUUGGUCACGAGCUAUUUCUCUCGCUCUUGGAGGACGUGGAAAGCUCCAGUUCAUUCAAAAGGAUGAUAUCAUGCCCGAAACAACUUCACAAGAUUAUGCAGCAUGGGUGUCCCAAGAUCAACUUAUCAUGUCUUGGCUGUUGAAUUCUAUGGAACCAAAGAUGGCUGAGAUUUUCAGUUAUUCAGUAUCAUUUCACCACCUUUGGAUUUCUGUACGAGACAUGUAUGGAGAUCUAAACAAUGCUGCGCGAGUCUUCCAGCUGAAGAAAGAUCUUACAGAAUUACAACAGGGAAAUCUCUCUUUUGUUCAACAUCUUGGCAACUUGAAGGCCAAAUGGAAUGAAUUGGAUCUCUACAGACCUCAUACCACGGACACAACCAUUCUUUUAAAGCGUGCUGAAGAAGACAAAGUGUUCCAGUUGCUUGCCAGCAUCGGACCAGAAUAUGAGGACCUUAAAAGUCAUCUCCUGAUGACACCUGAACUUCCCACCUUCCAGAUGGUCUGCAACGUUAUUCAACGCGAAGAAAUAAGGAAGAAGGUCAUGAAUGCAGUCGUUGUCGUUGGAGAAUCAGAUCUUAGGCCAUCAGAAGCAAGAGCCUUCACCUUUUUCAGACCAUACAAGGGAAAACGACCAGACUUAAAGUGUUCUCACUGUGUGAAAAUAGGUCGUCCAGGCAUUGGACACAUAAAAGAAAAGUGUUGGAUUCUUCAUCCAGAACUUAAACCCAAGUUCAAUGAUGAUGGAAGAGCACCAAGAAACCAAAUGAAGCCUGUCUACACUCCUCAAGGAAACCUUGUUUGCGACAAUGUCUUCAAAAAUGUGAUGAACUCUUCUUCUAGUCCCAUUACUCUCAUAAAUGAAUUUGCUAACUUCUUGCAACAGAAACAAGGGACAACAAAUCAUGAAAAUCCUGCAGCCAUGCUCGGCAAGUUUGCUGGCUUCCUCGAACAAUCAAGCUCAGUGUCAUAAAAUGAUGUGCUAGGUAUUGUUGCAACUAUUUCCACUGCAUUGGAUCUUAGUAGUAGCCGUGGUUUUUGGAUAGUCGACUCAGGAGCUUCUGAUCACAUGACUAACAAUGCAUCUUUACUAAAUGAUUUUCAAAACUUCUCCACUCCUUCUUUUGUCUCCGUAGCUAAUGGCACCAAAGUUAGUAUAGUAGGCAUAGGAAAACUCAAAAUCUUCUCAAGUAAAAAGGAAUCCCUUGUCAUGCAUGUCCUUUCCUUUCCUUUCAAGUUGCUGUCAGUAGGAAGAAUAACACAAUUGCUAAAUUGUCUUGCAAUUUUUUCCACUCACUGUGUGAUUUUCCAGGACCGAGUUUCGAAGGAAACGAUUGGUAAAGGUUUCUUCCUCAAUGGACUGUACUAUGUCAACUUCUCUUCAAGUUUUCCAAAAGGUUUCUACGUAAACUCAAACACAGUAAACAAGGAGCAGCUGUGGCACAUGAGAUUAGCUCAUCCUUCUUCCCAUGUUAUGUCUUUUAUUUUUCCUAGUUUCUGUAAAGAGAUUUCAGAUUGUGAAGUUUGUCAAAAAUCUAAGUCCACCAGGUUACCCUUUCCCCAUUCUCUCUCUAGAGCUACCAAAGUUUUUGAAAUUGUCCAUUCCGACAUUUGGGGACCUGCAACCUUAGAGUCUUUUGAUGGCUACAGAUUCUUUAUAUCUUUCAUUGAUGAUUUCUCUAGAACUACCUUUGUGUAUUUACUUAAAUUCAAGCACGAAGCUUUCCAGUGUUUCAAAAAUUUUCAUAACUUAGUUCAAAAUCAUUUUAACUCUAAUAUUGGCAUCUUAAGGUCUGAUAAUGGCUCUGAGUAUACUUCCAAAAUCAUGACAACUUACUUAAGUGAGCAUGGAAUCUUGCAACAAACUAGUUGUGUAGGAACACCGCAACAAAAUGGCAUUUCAGAAAGGAAGAACCGAGAUUUGCUUGAGAAAACACGAUCAUUAAUGUUACAAGCAAACCUUCCAAAGAAGUUCUGGUCUCAAGCUAUACAAACCGCUGCAUACAUCAUAAAUCGACUUCCUAGCAGAAUCUUGAAGUUUAAAUCUCCUUGUCAAAUUCUCAAGGGGAGAGAUAUUGACAUAAGUCAUCUCCGUGUGUUUGGAUGUGUGUGCUAUGUGCAUAUUCAAACUAUUCACCGAGAUAAACUUGAUCCAAGGGCUAUCAAGUGUGCAUUCGUAGGCUACUCAACUUCCCAAAAGGGAUACAAAUGCUAUGAUUCUAAAACCAGAAAGGUGUUUGUAUCCAGGGAUGUACGGUUCGAUGAGACAUACUUCUUCAAGCAUGAUGAUGAACCUCAGGGGGAGCUCUCAUAUGAAGUGUUUCCCACUCCUCUCGUCCUUGAUGAUCCAAGACUGUCAACACCGCACAAUGAAGCAAUUGAGAUAGAGCCAGCUCAUGAAAAUAUGGAAGCAAAUAAUGAAGAAGUCCUCCACGAAAGGAGAGAGCCCCUUGAACAACCUACUCCUCCACGAAGGAAUCCUUCUCGAAACAGACAACCUCCAGCCAGGCUUGAUGAUUUUGAAAUCUACAUGCCUAGAUAUCCUAUUGGACAAAUGGUUUACCAUAGCAAGACCUCCCCAUCUCAUGAAGCAUUUGUCACUAAGUUAUCUCAACACUCGGAGCCUCGAUCCUUCGAAGAGGCAAACCAAUCUCCUGUAUGGAGAUGUGCUAUGCUUGAGGAACUGAAGGCACUCGAAGAAACUAAAACUUGGAGCAUUGUUUCUCUGCCAAAAGAUCAACGUGUGGUUGGGGCAAGAUGGAUUUACAAGACAAAAUUUAACUCAGAUGGAACCAUCCAGCGGCACAAGGCAAGGUUAGUUGCAAGGGGCUUCACGCAAACCUACGGGGUAGAUUACAAAGAAACCUUUGCCCCGGUGGCAAAGAUGAACACAGUGAGAGUUCUUCUUUCGGUGGCUAUCAAUUCACAAUGGUCUCUACAUCAAAUGGAUGUAAAAAACGCUUUUCUUCAUGGAGAGUUGGAAGAAGAAGUGUACAUGCGCCUACCACCUGGUCAUGAACGAGAGAAGGAACAAGGAGUAGUAUGCAAGUUUCACAAGGCCAUUUACGGUCUCAAGCAAUCUCCAAGGGCUUGGUACUCAAAACUAAGCUCUGUCCUUAUGUCAUCCGGUUUUAAACGAAGCAAUGCAGAUUCUUCAAUGUUCACUAGGCUUGGCACACAUGGAAGAUUGGUGGUACUUGUUUAUGUUGAUGAUCUCAUUGUCACAGGAGAUAAUCCAGAAGAAAUCAAUGCUCUCAAAGCCACCUUACAUUCAACAUUCUCAAUCAAAGAUCUCGGUAGACUUAGAUACUUUCUCGGAAUCGAAAUGGAUCAAUCUCCAACGGGGUUGUUUCUAAAUCAACAAAAGUACGUUCUCGAUCUUUUAGAAGAAGCCAAUAUGAUGCAUUGCAAACCUGCUAAAACACCUCUACCAACAAAUUUCAAGCAUGAAACCUUAGGCAUCCAGCUUGAAAAUGCAUCGGAGUAUCAAAGGUUGGUAGGAAAACUUAUCUAUUUGACUAUAACUCGACCUGACAUUGCUUAUGCUGUUAGCUUUGUCAGCCAGUUCAUGCAUUCUCCCACAUCUCAUCAUCUGCAACUAGUUAAAAGGAUCAUUCGAUACUUAAAAAGCUCAAUGUCUACCGGGAUUUUCAUGCAAAACAAUGGACACUUCACCAUUGAAGGAUACACAGACUCUGAUUGGGCAGGCAACGUCCUUGAUCGCAAGUCCACAACUGGUUACUGCACUCUUGUAGGUGGUAACCUCGUCACGUGGAAGAGCAAAAAGCAAUUUGUUGUAGCUCGGUCCAGCGCAGAAGCUGAGUACCGUGCAAUGGCAUCUACUGCAUGCGAACUAAUUUGGCUAAAGAGUUUGCUACAUGAUCUUGACAUCAUCUCUUCCAAGCCAAUUCUCCUCCACUGUGACAAUCAAGCAGCGAUGCAUAUUGCUGCCAACCCCGUCUUUCAUGAACGAACAAAGCAUAUCGAGGUUGACUGUCAUUUCGUCCGCAACCAAGUCCAGUCCAAGCUGUUACAAACUGCAUUUGUUCGCUCCAGUGAUCAACUAGCCGAUGUGUUCACCAAGCCCCUUCCUUCUUCUCAACUUGAUCGUAUUCUCUUCAAGCUUGGAUCCAGAAAAUCUCUCGAUCCAGCUUGAGGGGGAGUAUUGAAUAUUAUUGAAUAUUCUUUAAACCCUAAUAGCUGUAAAGCUGUGUUUAGCUAGGGUUUAGUGAGCUGUGUUAUUCCCUCUUCGGUGUAAAGCUUGUUAAUAAGCUGUAAAGCAUGUGUUAGAGAGUGUGGAGGUCAUCAUACUCUCAUGCUUGCUUAGCUGACUUGCUUAGCUACCAUUGUCCCCUACUCUCCUCUCUCUUUCCCGAUUAUUCUUCUAUUUAUGCUUAAUCUUGUAAACUGUUUGAUACAAUGAAAUAUAUGUUGAUGCACAAAAUCAGCGAGGGCUUUGGUACAACAGAAAGUGUCAGGUUUUGUGACCUUCGCUUGGUUGCUUCGGUCACUAGUGAGGAUAAGUACGUAAAUGAAUAGAGACAGAGAAGCAAACACAGGAUGUACGUGGUUCACCCAGAUUGGCUACGUCCACGGAGUAGAGGAGUUCUCAUUAAUUGUGAAGGGUUUACACAAAUACAUAGGUUCAAGCUCUGGUUUAGUGAGUUCUAGUGAAUAGUUUAGUACAAAAUGACAUUAGAGAUUAUUGUGGGAGAAUGAUCCCUAUUUAUAGAAGAGAGUUUCUAGUUUUGUUCUAAUAUUGACACGUGUCGUGUUGUGUUGGCCUCUGAUGUUGACACGUGUCACGCUGUGAUUGGCUUCUGAUGUCGACACGUGUCGCAUUGUGAUUGGCCUCCUGGUUGAAGGGAAACUCUUCUGGGUUCUUGAUGGUAUAACGUUGACCGGUGCUCAGUAGUUUCGGGAUUGGUCAAGUAUGGUACAAACAGUGCUCCCCUAAGUUCCCGAGUGAGGGAAGCUCCUCGGUUGGGGACUUGCAAGAUCCAAGCCGCUGAGUAAUCACAAAACUUCUAAGUACCGAGGUAUGGUAUCAUUUUCACUUGCCUUAUCUGUCUCAUAUGUAGAUGUGGCAUCUUCUCUGGAAGUACUUUUCCUCCAUCCAGGGGUGGUAUCUUUAACCGAUGAAGAUGCACAAGGUAAUGUAUCAAUUUCACUUGAAGCUUACUUGUAGUUUCGGGCUUGGUCAAGUGCGAUACAAACACUAUAGUAGGAGUCCCCCAAGUCGCCGAGCUAGGAGAUCUGCCGAAAGAGGUGACAGACAAGGUAAGCAGUCAAACUUCCAAGCAAGCAACCCAGGAUCAGAGGUUUGACUUCGGCUUCCGGUUGAUUGUUCUCCUUCUCCUUGUCUCUCAUUCAACUGCCAGGAUAAGGAGAAGCAAAUGGAUAAGAUAUGAUAUGAGAUACUUUUGCUUUUGAAGAAGUAACUUUCCACAGGCUUAUUCUUGAACUGUGCUGGAGGGUUUUCUGGUUCCCUCCAGAGUAUAAGGCCGACUCAAGAAUUUGAGGGUCAAAACAAGUCCAUCAAAUCUAGAGUACGUUCGACCUUGAUGAUAUGGGAUACUUUUGUUGUUGACGGAAUAGUGAAUGUGGUAUGGAAAGGUGUCGUGAUGUAGUGAUCUGUUUCAGCUCAUCGUUGACCCUUCUGCUUCAAUCUUUUGCAUGGCAGAAAUGGUGUGCAACCUUUGCAUUUAAAUGGUCCUUCAGAACAUUCCUUCAUAGUGACUCAUCCACGCUUGGCAACUUCAGUGUAAAGAGCCAAUAUCUGAUCAACUGUCAUGAGGUAUUUGCCGGUGGAAUUCGUGACCUUGACAGCAGUUGAGGAUGAGUACUCGAGAGCAAUACUAAGUAAGCAACCAGGCAAAGGUUCCAGGCAGUCAGUUCCAGAAUUGGAGGUUUGAUUUCAGGUUCCGAACUGACUGCUCUCUUUCUCCUUGUCCUGCAGGUGUGGACAAGGACAAAGACAAAGAUAGGGAGAAAAGCAUGAUAUGGGAUACUCUUGCUUUCGACCCUGAUGAUAUGAGAUACUCUUGUUCUUGGUGUGGCUUAUUUGCUGAGGUAUUAUCAGGGGGGAAAUAAAGCUGAGUAUUUCGAGAGGUUAUGUUGAGGGUGCAUUCUCGAAUGCGAGAAAAGGUUGAGCAUUUUUGUAGGUUUGCCUGUCCGUUGAGGAGGGAGGUCGAUGUAUAUAGGGAUUUCCCAAUAACAAGUAGUAAUGCUAUUCCUUUACCCUUCUUGGUCACAUCAAUGUAGUGGGAGCUGCCAGCUUCACGUGUUUUAACUUUGUCAGAGCACUUUGAAAAAGUGGUAUGUGGUAUCUGGAAAGCUGAUGUUACGUGUGAAGAUUACAGACAAGUUUUAUCUAAGGAAAUCUAGCUCUCGAAGUUCUGAGAGUUGUGCCUCUUCGGUUUUCGAACAAGCAAUCCCGUCGAAGAUCUGACUCUCGAGAUUCGGAAAGUGGUGCUAUUUCGGUUUUUGAGAAAGUAAUUAUGUUGGGAGUCUUUGCUCGAAUGUGAGUAAAAGUUGGACGUUCUUGCCAACCUGUCUUGCCGCAAACCAAGGUUCUAAAAAACGCUAGGCGCUAGUCGGGCGGCCGGCUAGCGCCUAGCGCCUAGGCGGCUAGGCGGCGUCUAGGCGGGCGCCUAGGCGGCCUAGGCGGAUUUAGGUAAAUUUCUUGUAUAUCUUGUAAAUAAGUGCAUAUUGACACCUAAAAAAAACUAUACUUGUAUGGAUAAUAAAAUAAUGAUAAAAUGCAAAUUAGGUACACUAUUUCCAUAAGUAUUGGAUGAACUUGUAGUAAAUCCAUCAUUUGCAAAUUAGAUACACCAUUUCCAUAAGUAUACCACCAUGAAACCAAAAAAGAAAAAAGCACGCAAUUAAUAAAAAAUAAAAAAUAAAAAAAAACCUCCUAGGACCGCCUAGGACCGCCUAGGGCCGCCUAGGACCGCCUAGCCCGCCUAACCCGCCUAGCCGCCCAGCCCGCCUAGACCGCCUAGGCACCGCCUAGCCCGCCUAGGCCCAACCCGAUUUUUCCUCCCGAUUUGCCCAAAAACGCCUCGGUUGCUAGGCGCCCAGCGCCUAGGCGGCCGCCUAGGCCGUUUUUUAGAACACUGCGCAAAACAAGGAGGUUGACACACAUAGGGACUUUCCAGUUGUCAAGCAGUGGUGCUGUUCCUUUACCCUUGUGGGUAAUAGUAGGGUAGCUGGAACUUCGAAAUUCUCGUGCCUAAACUUUGUCAGAGAUAUUUGACAAAGUUAUAUGUGGUACCCGAGGAGUUGAUGGUGCAUGUGGAGAGUGGUGAUUGAACAGUAAGAUUCACGUGCUUUCUACUUCACCAGAAAUCUUCGACAGAUUGCCCGUAAUUUCCGCAAAGCUGAGUGUGCAUGUGACAGGUGCUGACGAGGCUGAAAAAGCAGGUGCUUCUUCAAUUUUUGAGAUCGGCCCUCGUGGUCUUUGAGCAGCCUAGCUUUUGAGAAAGCAAACACCUUUUCGAUUUCUAAAGCUCCGUCGAGUGCAAAUUUUUAUAGAGGCUGACAUUAAGUUCCACAGCACACUUAAAUCUCCACCAGUAGAAGCUCCCUUCUUACACUUCUAAGAUCUUGAUUUGUCUGACCUCUUCCCUCUUCAACACCUUUGAAAAUGUCUGGCCCCCUCCGACCGUCGUUUUGACUUGAACCUUGGAGAAAAGACAGCCACGCCUUCUCCAGACAACAUAUGGCGGCCAUCCUUCAUAUCCCCUACUGGUCCUCUUACCGUUGGGGAUUCUGUGAUGAAGAAUGAUAUGACCGCUGCGGUGGUGGCCAGGAACCUUCUCACUCCCAAAGAUAACAGACUACUUUCCAAACGGUCUGAUGAGUUGGCUGUUAAGGACUCUCUGGCUCUUAGUGUUCAGUGUGCAGGUUCUGUGUCUAAUAUGGCCCAACGCCUAUUUGCUAGAACCCGCCAAGUUGAAUCAUUGGCUGCUGAAGUGAUGAGUCUCAAACAGGAGAUUAGAGGGCUCAAGCAUGAGAAUAAACAGUUGCACCGGCUCGCCCAUGACUAUGCUACAAACAUGAAGAGGAAGCUUGACCAGAUGAAGGAAUCUGAUGGUAAGGUUUUACUUGAUCAUCAGCGGUUUGUGGGUUUGUUCCAAAGGCAUUUAUUGCCUUCGUCUUCUGGGGCUGUACCUGGUAAUGAAGCUUCAAAUGAUGAACCUCCAAUGCCUUCUCCUUCUGGGGUUUUGUCAAGUACUGAGGCUCCGGAUAACCACCCUCCGGUGCUUUCUCUUUCUGGGCUCUACCGACUGCUGAGACUUUCCCCUAAGCAACCUUUGUGAAGGCUUCCCUUUUGUUUGUUUUAUUUUGACUCAUGUAUAUGUACAUAUUUGUGGCUUUAUCGAAAAUAUUAAUAAAUAAGCUUUGCUUCAUUUCAACAUAUUGUGUUAAAUACACCAAAGCCUUCUUCAGAAAGUUCUUUGAAUUUUUUCUUUUGUUGAAACUUGUAUUGUUAAAGCUUUGUGAGUGAAGCAUGUAGUUUGAGGUAGUGUUCCCUUAAUUUCCCGAGUGAGGAAAACUUCUCGGUUGGAGACUUGAAAAAUCCAAGUCACUGAGUGGUUGUGAGACUGCCGAGUAUCAAGGUGCAGUAGCAUAUGGUGGGAGUCCCCCAAGUCUUCAGGCGAAGAGAGUUGCCGAAUGAGGUGUCUCGCUUUUUACUAAUUUGUCAGAGUAACGAAUCCUUGUUUCGAUGUCACACAUUCGUAUAUGCCUUAUCUAAAAAUAUUUCCAACUUUUGUGUGUUUGAUGCUGCAUGCUAUUGACUAGACAAGAUCAAGUGCAAUUAGUAGCUUUUCUCUCUUUUUCAUCUUUUCUUUGGUGGAAUUGCUUUUCGUUUCCACUAAUCAGCCUGAGUGGAUGCAAGAUAACACCAUUCUCUAUGGCUCAGAUUGCAAAGUCGUCUUCAUAAAAGUUGUUCCUUAUCUUGUGAACUACAACAUAUCCAAAUUUGAGAUCCAUCGGAGUAGUACAACUUCAGAAAUUCAGGUAUGAUGAGUAACUGUUCAUCAAUUUUCUGUUAACCCGUUAGACUUGUUGUGAGCUCCGAAACUCCAUUUUCUCUUGUUCAGAUCAACAUACUUUCUUCAUCGAUGUUGUUCCGCACCUUGUCAGCUACAACAUAUCCAAAUUUGAGACCUAUCGGAGCAGUACAAAUCCAGAAAUUCAGGUAUGAUGAGUGACUGUUCAUCAUUUUUCUGUCAACCUGUCAGACUUGUUGUGUGCUUUGAAACUCCAUUUUCUCUUGUUCAGAUCAACAUACUUUCUUCAUAGAAGUUGUUCCUUAUCAUCUCUUUCAUGACAUAUCAAAAAUUCAGAAGGAACUAACGGUUAAAUAUUUCCAGAUCUUCGAAACAUCACAGCAGUCUUCGAAAUGUGCGGGAAUCCGACUGUCAUGUUUGGAGCCUCAACACUUUAAUUUCCGUCGCUCAAACAGAAACGAUUCCUUCUUGAAAAUUGUUCAUCUGCGCAAGAACUAUAGGGUGUCCAAAAUUCAGCUCAACUGGAGAAGAGCAAAGGUUGCAGAAAUUUGAUAGAUGAAAGGAGGCGGAAGAGGAAGACAGGGAAAGAAGUUGCUUGGGUUGGAUUUCUAGUUAAACUUGGGAUUUUGGUUUGUUGUUUGAUUUAUUAUAAUAUGUUUGGAAACAUAUACAUAAUUUCUUGUUUGUUUAUGACAGGGAUGUUGUGGGUGUAGAACAAAACAAAUGUUUGUGUUGACCUAUGUUUUUGUACAAGUUCAAGGGAAUCUUGGUUUUGUGAACAAAAUUUGUUUAUUUGUCACAAGGUUUUGUGUUUGGGAAAUAGUUUAAUAGGUAAGGUUUAUUGACUAUAGAUUUUUGCUUGGGUAUAUAGCGUGACUAGUUGAAGCUAUUUUUAGGAUACAAAACUUGAAUUAGCUUCGCACUAUCUUGAUGAAGAGUGUGCGAAGCUUUUAUAUGUUUUGGUGUUGAAAUUUUGUAUUGUAGGUGAAGCAUUGGGGUUGAAGCUUGAUAUGUGAAGCUUUAUAGGUGAAGCUUUGGUGUUGAAGCUUUAUAGGUGAAGCUUUGGGGUUGAAGCUUGAUAUGUGAAGCUUUAUAGGUGAAGCUUUGGGGUUGAAGCUUUAGAGGUGAAGCUUUGGUGGUGAAGCUUUAUAGGUGAAGCUUUGGUGUUGAAGCUUUAGAGGUGAAGCUUUGGUGGUGAAGCUUUAUAGGUGAAGCUUUGGUGUUGAAGCUUUAUAGGUGAAGCUUUAGAGGUGAAGCUUUGGUGGUGAAGCUUUAUAGGUGAAGCUUUGGUGUUGAAGCUUUAUAGGUGAAGCUUUGGUGGUGAAGCUUUAUAGGUGAAGCUUUGGUGGUGAAGCUUUAUAGGUGAAGCUUUGGUGUUGACACCAUAAAUUGAUUGUGUUUCGCACUAUCUUGAUGAACAUAGUGCGAAGCCUUUGAGAUUGAUAUUUGUCCUCCAUUGAUGAAGCUUUUGUUGGCACCAUAAAUUGAUUAUGCUUCGCACUAUCUUGAUGAACAUAGUGCGAAGCCUUUGAGAUUGAUAUUUGUCCUCCAUUGAUGAAGCUUUUGUUGGCACCAUAAAUUGAUUGUGCUUCGCACUAUCUUGAUGAACAUAGUGCGAAGCUUUUGAGAUUGGGAGUUGAAUCCCAUUGAUGAAGCUGCUGUGUUCCCCCUUCCCCUUUUUUCGGAUUUUUUGUUUGUUUUUUUUUGUUUUUGUUUUUUUUUCGGUUUUUUUUUUUUUUUUUGUUGGAGGGGGGGAACUGAAACAUUUGAAAUUUGAAACUCCUUAAUGUUAGAAGUUUGAAGAUUCUCCAUGUGGGGCUUUCUCAUGGUUUGAAUUUGAAUUUUGAAUGUUAAUAGCCAUGUUGAACUAUAUAUAAAAAGGAUAAGUUUCCAUUCUUUACCUUACCUUCAUUUGCUCAUCUUGUAGUGAUUUUUGAAGACAUAGUGCUUUUUACUUGAGAGGGAUUCUAGCAUUGCUUUGCUGCACCAUCUUCAGGUUGGUAGUCUUCUCCACUACAUUGGAUGUUUUCCUUUUUGUUGAAUUGUUGGAAUGUUCAUGUAUUUUGUGACGAACAUAAUGAACUGGUUGAGCUGUUCUUCAUGCCCUGUGAGCUUCCUUAUGUUUUGAUCCUUCAUGUAGUAAUAGAGUUUGUUUCUGUUUGUUGUAGAUGUCGGAGUCUGGAAGUCUUAGUGAUGAGGGCUCCCCUAGCUCGGGCUCUAGGUUUGAGCCUGCAAUGUCGGGGUCUUCAUGGCCUUUGUUAGAGUCUUGUACAAAAGAAACGUUGGAUGAUCCUCACAAUUGUCAAACCUUAGCCAAUAUUGGUUCUUCCUCCAUGUUAGUGGGUGAGGGGGUUGUUUGUGACGCCAUACCCAUAUGUCGUUCUGAUCCUCACAAUUGUCAAACCUUAGCCGAGAUUGGUUCUUCCUCCAUACGAGUGGGUGAGGGGGUUGUUUGUGAUGCCAUACCCAUAUUUCGCUCUGAGUUCACAGCGGACCAUUUAGAAAAUAACUUGUUAGAUAGCGAAAAGCAGCUUGAGGCCCUAAGGCAAUCAUGUAGUAUCCCCCGUAGUGUAGGAAUACGUUUGGUGCGUUGUGAAGAAUUGCCUUCGGAGCCGCCCAAGGGUCAUGUUAUGUUCUACCGAGACAUUAGUGACCUUGGGGGUAAAUUUACCUUUGCAUCCGUGGUUGCAACGAAUGCUGGCUUUUAUUGGUUAUGCACCUGGGCAACUCAACCCUGGUUUCUGGGAUACCUUGAUCGGGUUUUAUAUUAUUUGAAUGGAGUGUGGAUUAGGUGAGCCUUCCUUCCAUCAAUGGCGCUACUGUUAUAAGAUGCGCCCGGUGAAAGCAUGUACUGGUUAUGCUGAAUGUGCAUGUCGGAGCGAGAGAGAGCGUGUUGUCUGUAAUAAGAGAAAGUCGUACUGCACAUGGAAGAAACGUUGGUGCUUUCUUUAUAAUGAUUGGGAGCAUGCUAAGGGUGUCACGCCUGAGCGACGUGUUCCUACUCACUUCCAAACUGUAGGUUGUAAUGUAUCCAUUUUCUCAUUAUUUGCUAUUGUUGUGAUUUUCUCUUGCUUCUAAGAUUUUUCUUCAUGCAGUGACACGAGGCACCAUCAAACUCUCCGGACAGGAGCUAGCUGAUGUAGAGAAAGUGCUGAGGGUGCCUAAAGAAGAUAGAUACUUGGGUAAGCUACGUCCCUUGUUUCGAAAGUACGGUUUCCAGCCCUUAGUUUCCGAGUGCCAGAGACGAGCGAGUAAGUUGUAUCCUCACUUGAUCCUUGUUCUUCCCUUUUUUUUUUAUAGAUAUAUAAUAUGGUAUUCCUUACUUUGAUUUUCCUUGUUCAGUGGAGAAGGUGGGCAAGAAAGUGGAGACUAGCACCAAGAAACGGAGAGUUCCCAUGUUAGUUCCUUCAGAAGACAUCCUGUUUCACAAGGAAGCUCGCAAGCAUUGAGUGAGACCAAUUAUUAAAACUAAGUCUCGAGAAGAAGUCAUCAAGGUUGCUACCUCGAAGAAAGCUGAAGCUGAGGCCAUUGGAUGUGCUGCUGCCAUAGUUGCCGGGGAAGAUAGGCGAUUGCUGCCUCCUCUUCCUACUAUUAAUCCCAUCUUUCCUCCAGUUAGGGAACACAUUGGGCAGGAAGGUGAUCCUAGUUCUAGCAGCAAGGGUAAAGAUAAGGAAGAGGUUGACAGUGUCCCUUAGAAGGAUUUGAAGGUUGCCAUGCGGCCAAAGGACUUUGGGUAUAUCAACAAUUGCCUGGCAGGUUCGAUGAGCUCAGAGAACCCUUAGCUAAAGAUGAAUCGGAUUGCGACCGGAUGUUGAAACUGUCUUCAUAUGUGAGUGUUACUUUGUCAUUCCCUUGUUUUCUCCUCUUUAUUAGCAUUAUUUUAGUAGUGAUGAUCGUCUUGUCAUGCAGGUCAUGGUUGAGUAUCACGACAGACUGCGAGAGGCUGAACGGUGCAAGGUGAAAUUGGAAGAGAAUAAGCAGCUUGUGAAUGAUGCCAGGAAGACGAGCAAAGCUUUAGCUGAGGCCAUCCAAGUCAAGGAUCAACAUUUUGAAAGUUUGAAGAGGCGGAAUAGUGAGAACUUGAGACUCAAGGUACAGUUGGAAGCGACUAAGAAACAGUUGGAGACAACUAUGCUCGAGGUUUCCAAGGUUAAAGGGGAGUUGGAUAGUGCCUUGGUUGAGGUUUCUGAGCUGAAGAGUAGUAUCCCGGCUGAGAAGGAAGCUGCUGUGAAUGAGUUCUUGGGUUCCCAAGCCUUUCUCCAUGUCCUUAUACCUCGCUGUACCCGGGAAGUGCACUUUGAAAAAAGAAAGUGGAUGGCUGUCCUUGAUCGUUAUGAUGAUGGAAGUGUUCUUCGAAAAUACCGUGAAGAAAUAGAUGAGCAUCAUCGAAAAGGUGAAACCUUCGACCUUGCAGUUUAUUCGAGCAGUGCAGAUGAGUCUGGCGAUGAUGCUAGUGCUGAUGAGCAGAGUCAUCAGGGUGAUGAUAAGGUUGGAGAUGCAGAAAAUGGCGGUAGGACUCAGAGUGAUAUGAUCAGGGGUUCAACCUCAGAGGAGGAUGACUAGAAAUGCUUUCACUUUCUGCAUGUACUCUGCCUGCACUAGUUUGUUGUUUGUAUGGCAUAUGCCAUGUUAUAAGCUCGAGGGGUUUUUUUUUUUUUUUUUUGUAUGUUUAUGAGUGUUUGCAUUAUCAAGCAAGUGUUUGUAUUAUCAAGCUUCAAUUGUUUGCCCUAUCAUUGAUGAAUGUUUGGCUAUGUUUGCAUAGAUCCUUUGUAUAGUCUUGUUGACAUAUACCUAGAUUUUAUUUUGUAUUGGAAACAUGUGCGUUGAAGCUUCAACACUUGAGUGUUUCAUUGCUCAGAAUGUAAAAGAGUUUAGGGCUGAGUUGGCUAAAUCACCUCUUUAUUGAAUUCAUACCAAAUGGUCUUUGUUACAUAGGAUGCCGAACGGCUGUAGCUUAACACUUAUACAAUGUGAGUCUAUUUGUAAUAGUACUUCAAGUGGUCAGCAUUCCAUGGAUGGCCAAAGGUCUUGCCGUCUGAGCUUCUGAGCUUGUAGGAGCCAGGGCGGCUAAUGCCGACGACCUCGAACGGUCCGUCCCAGUUAGGACUGAGUGUUCCUUCACUCGGGACUCUAUCACAGAGUAAUCUUUUCUUCAGUACCCAGUCUCCCACUUUAAAAGAGCGAGGUUUGACCCUUGAGUCGUAGUAGUUGGAGAUGCGCUGCUUGUAGGCGACAUUCCUCAGGUGAGCCUGAUUUCUGUGUUCCUCGACUAGAUCCAGGUUGAGGGUGAGUUGCUUGUCGUUCUCACUCUGUAUGUAGUUCUGGAUUCGGUAUGUUGCUUGCUUAAGCUCAAUCGGGAUAACUGCUUCUGUACCAAAAGCAAGUGAGAAUGGAGUUUCUCCUGUGGAAGUCCGAUAUGAAGUGCGAUAUGACCAAAGAACUUGGGGUACGAAUUUUGGCCAACAACCUUUAGCUUUGUCCAAGCUAGUUUUCAGAGUGCGCUUGAUUAUUUUGUUAACGGCCUCGACUUGUCCGUUAGAUUGAGGAUGGGCUGGAGAGGCAAAACAUAAGUUGAUGUUGAACUUAGAGCAGAACAUCUUGAACUUCUUGUUGUCGAACUGCCGCCCAUUGUCCGUGACUAUCGCAUUGGGAAUGCCGAAUCUGCAGAGGAUGUUCUUCCAUACGAAGUCUUCUAUUUUUCCCUUAGUAAUGGUUGCCAAGGGUUCUACUUCAGCCCACUUUGUGAAGUAGUCAACUGCAACGAUUGCAUAGCGGACCUUGCCUUUCCCUGCAGGCAUUGGGCCUAUCAAAUCAAGUCCCCAUUGGGCAAAGGGCCAAGGGCUGAUCAUAGGAGUGAGCGGCUCGGGAGGGGAGUGAGGGAUAGUUGCGUAGCGUUGACACUUAUCACAUGAGCGUGAUAUUCUGAUGGCAUCCUGGUGGAGUGUUGGCCAAUAGUAUCCUUGGCGAAAAGUCUUGUGUGCUAGGGAUCGAGACCCAGCAUGAUCUCCGCAGACUCCUUCAUGUAUUUCCCGAAGGAUAAUUUCCGCCUCCGCAGGUGUAAGGCAUCUUAGGUAUGGCAGGGUAAAACUGUACUUGUAGAGUUGGUCAUUAAUGAUCAGGUAUCGGGCAGACUUGUAUCGAAUCUGCUUAGCUUGGACUUUGUCAAUUGGGAGGCUGCCAUGAGCAAGGAAUUUAUAAAUUGGGGUGAUCCAAUUAUCUCCUUGCUGUAAAUUGCACACUUCCAUGACCAUGGUGCUUGGUGCUGCCAACAAUUCGACAUGAAUUUUUCUCCCAAUCUUGUCUUCCACUGCCGAGGCGAGGCGAGCCAAAACGUCUGCAUGACUGUUUGCCGCUCGAGGAACUUGGGUGAUUUGGUAGUGGAAGUGCUUGAGCAAAAGUCGCGUUUGCGCAAGAUAUGCUGCCAUGGAGCUAUCCUUAGCAUCAAAGUUGUUCGUGACUUGGUUGACCACUAAUUGGGAGUCACUGAAGUUAUCAAUUCGUUUAACCCCGAGGUGCUUGGCCAAACGUAAGCCUGCUAGAAGGGCUUCGUAUUCGGCCUCAUUGUUCGAUGCCUUGAAUUUGAAACGAAUAACAUAUUCCAUCACCACUUUGUCGGGGGUAGUGAGGACUAAUCCUGCUCCGCAGCCCUGUUGGUUGGAUGAGCCAUCAACAUACAGACUCCAUGCUGGGGUUGUUGAUUCUAUCUUCUGAGCUUCCGAUGGUAAUGAAGCUAUUGCUUCAGGUGUAGAAGCAAUGUCAACAGGAUGUGUGAAGUCGGCUAUGAAAUCUGCUACAGCCUGACCUUUUUCGGCUGGUUUUGGUUGGUAGGAGAUGUCAAACUCACCCAAUGAUAUCGCCCAUUUGAUCAUUCACCCAGACGUGUCAGGACUCUGGAGUAUCUGUCGAAGAGGGUGAUUGGUAAGCACGAUAAUGGCGUGUGCUUGGAAAUAAGGGCGAAGUUUUCGAGCAGACAUGACCAAUGCUAAAGCUAAUUUCUCAAUGUUGGAGUAUCAUGUCUCCGCAUCUUGUAGGGCCUUGCUAGCGUAGUAAAUAGGCCUUUCGACCCCACUGUCCUUUCGAAUAAGAACAGAACUAACUGCUGAAGCCGAAACCGAUAGAUAGAUAAUGAGAGUGUCACCAACUUCUAGUUUGGAGAGCAGAGGGGCUUUACUCAUGUACUCUUUGAGGUUCCUGAAUGCCUUGGCACAUUCCUCCGUCCAUGUAAUGUACUUCUUAUUUCCCUUGAGUGCUUUAAAGAAAUGAGCACAUUUGUCUGUGGCCUUAGAGAUGAAUCUGGUUAAGGCUGCCACUUUGCCAGUAAAGCUUUGGAUGUCUUUUGAAGUUACUGGCUCUUUCAUGUCGAGGAUUGCUUUGAUCUUUUCGGGGUUAGCUUCAAUGCCUCGUUGGCUAAUCAUGAAGCCUAAGAAUUUGCCAGAGCCCACACCGAAGGCACAUUUGUUGGGGUUCAACCUCAUUCGAUACCUCUUUAGAAUGGUGAAAGUUUCAGAUAGGUUGAUGAUGUGUUGGUCAGCAUGUUUGCUCUUGACUAACAUAUCAUCAACGUAAACUUCCAUGUUCUUCCCAAUCUGUUCGGCGAACAUUGAAUUGACUAGUCUCUGAUAAGUUGCUCCUGCAUUCUUUAGGCCGAAAGGCAUGACUUUGUAGCAAUAUAGUCCCCUGUCAGUAGUGAAGGUUGUGUGUUGGUCUGAGGGGUUCAUGAGGAUUUGGUUGUAUCCUAAAUAAGCGUCCAUGAAGCUCAAGAGCUCACACCCUGCCGUAGAGUCUAUAAGUCUAUCAAUGAGAGGAAGGGGGAAAUUAUCCUUCGGGCAUCCUUUGUUUAGGUCGGUGUAGUCGACACAUAUUCUCCACAAGACCUUUUGAAGCAGGAGACUUUCCUUGGUCGGAUUUUUCUUAACAAGGACAACAUUUGCUACCCAUGUUGGGUAAUUGACUUCACAGACGAAGCCUAUGUCCUUGAGUUUUUCAACUUUUGCUUUCAUCGCCUUGUAUCGUUCAACAUCAUAAGAUCUUCGCUUCUGUUUUACUGGUUUGGUCUUGGGAUCAAUACUCAAGUGGUGACAAAUGAUAUCGGGAGAGUUGCCCGGCAUAUCUUUAUAUGACCAAGCGAAAACCUCAGCGUUCUCUUGCAAAAAUGAGAUCAGUGACAACCGAAUGGGUGGUGACAAAGUAGUGCCAAUCUUCACCAUGCGGUCUGGAUGGUCUUUGGAGAUAGAGACCUUCUCUAACUCUUCAGCGGGUUGUGCUUGCUGGGUGAAUGAGUCAUCUCGAGGGUCGUCGGGUUGACUGUUGCCAUCCUGAAGACCCGAGUUGGAUUCAUCUAGACUGGUCUUUACGACUUGGUUAUGUAUAGAGAGAGUCUCCUUGGGGACAGACAGGUGUUGUUGUUUGACUGAAGUGUUGUAACAUGAUCGAGCACUAAGUUGAUCUCCCCUGAUGUACCCAUUGCCGAAAAGGGUUGGAAACUUCAUCAACAACAUAUGUGUGGAUACCAUGGCCUUGAGAUCAUUGAUGCCUGUGCGCCCAAAGAUGACAUUGUAUGCCGUCGGGCAGUUGACCACUAGGAAGUUAGUGGUAAUAGUAGCUGUGUAGGGGCCUGUACCAAUGGUGAAGGGUAAGUGUAUACUCCCUAAAGGUUGCACGAUAUUGCCAGAGAAGCUUAUCAGAGGAGAAAUCGAGCGAUCGAGCAAGUGUUCCGCUACAUUAAGUGCCUUGAAAGCUUCAGCAAACAUGAUAUUGACUGAAGCACCUGUGUCUAUCAGGAUUCGUUUCACAUCAAAAUUUGCUAUGUGAGCUUCCACGAUCAGCGGGUCAUUGUGAGGGUAGAUGACACCUCUUUCUUCCUCAGGGUAGAAACAUAUUGGAUCCCAGUUAGGCUUUUGAUACUUGCCUCCUCUGAUGUCUUCCACGUGAAACACUUGAUGGCCAGGUCUCAAAGUUCGUUCACUGCUUUUCAUGGCCCUAUUGGAAGAUUCAGACAUGGGUGUGCCGCCGCUUAUGGAAUAUAUCACAUUCACCUGGCGUUGGUUACGGUUAUCCCUUAGAGGGUGAAGGAGAAACUGAUCAAUUUUUCCUUCACGUGCCAGAGCUUCAAUAUGGUCACGGAGGAUAAUGCACUUUUCACUAUCAUGGCCAUUAUACCCGUGGUAGCAGCAAAACAUUCCCGUGUUCUUCAUGGACUUGUAAUCUGGCUGUCUUGGCUUUGGCUUUGGUAUCAGGUGAGCUAUACUAGGGUAGAUGGCAACACAUGUAGCAUUCAAAGAGGUGUAUGUCUCAUACCUCGGGGUAGGGCCUGUCUUGACACGUGAUUGGCCCACUGCGUUGACUGCCUGGGGGCGGGCAUUAUUGUGACGAUAUCCUGAGUUAUCGCGAUAGUGCCCCUUAUUCUUUUUAUUAAAAUGAGAUUGGUGAGGAUGGAAGUCUUUCCUUUUGCCCUGAGAUUGAUAUGUCUGCUGACUUGGCGAAGCAUUAAAUGAGGCAGGUGGUGUGCUGCUACCAUUUGGAAGGUUGAGGUCUUUUCAUUCGGUUGGAUCUGGCCUCCACUCCCUACUUGCUGAUAAGGGGUGACUGUAGGGGGUUUCCCUUGAUAUGUCCUUGCCUCGGCGGAGGCAUGGUUGUAAGCUUGUGUCAUCACCUCAGAGUAAGUCUUCCAAGUGUUGGCAUUGAUCAUGUACUUGAAGAAACAGUCACAUAAGCCUGCCGUGAAAGCCUUGAGGGUGGUCUUGUCAUCUGCCUCAGCGCAGCGAGAAUACUCAUGGCUGAAGCGGCCAACGUACUUUCGUAAUGACUCGUCCGGCUUCUGGCGAAUAGUGUACAAGUCAUCUGCGGAAUGCAAGCGAUCGGUUUGGAAGAUGUGUUGAGAGACAAACAGCUUCCUCAACUCUUCAAAUGAGUCUACUAUCUCAGGUGGAAGACGACAAUACCAGUUUAAAGCUCCGCCAGAGAGGGUGGAGGGGAAGAGAAGGCACCGUUCUUCGUCGGUGUGUCCCCGGUAUACCAUGGUGGACUCAAAGAGGUUAAGGUGUUCAAUCGGGUCUUCCUUUCCAGUAUAGAGCUGUAAGUCAAGCUUCUGCUUUGUCUUCGCUUGGAGGGGAGUGUUGAGGAUCCUUCUUGUGAGAGGGCCAGGCCUGGGUUGGUUCCAAUCAGGUAUCUCGGCUUGACGUUCAGCCUUCAGCUUGUUUACUUCCUCAAGGAGCUGCAUGACAAGGGGGUCCUGAGCGGAGUCGUGCACCACCGAAGUUUUCUUCUUUAAGCCCCCAUCGCCUCUUGGAAGUAGGAAAGUUUGAUCAAGAUAGCGUGAUCUUUCUUUGGACUCGCCACACUGACUUCUAGAGUGAGUAUGUUGGAAUGUUUCCGAGUCCCCAGUACCUUCGUAUUCUUCUGGGACUUGUUGCCCAUUCUCUAGAUUGGCGGCUGGCCUGGGUCGUGGAAGAGGACCGAGUCUUUCAGAAACCCUUGGGUCAUGGAUCUUCGAGCUUAUGUGGAUGGGAUUCUCUCGACGUUGCUUUAGGAAGUCUCGACAAUCGCGAUAGACAGCUUUUGAUCCUUCCACUCCCUCUGUGAGGAGGUGUUUUCCUCUACUUCUCCUGCUUUGGGUUGAAUCAGCUGGGUUGAGAGAAGUCUCAUGUUGAUUAUCACAUUGAUGUGUAGCUCGAUCCCUAUCAGGGAUGUCCGUGUCGGAUAUCGGCGACCCUCCGUGUUGGGGGGCAUUCAGUUGAUUGUUAACCUCAACAGGGGCGACGAGCUUAUGUGUUUGAGCCUGCCUAGCCUCGUGAAGCAUCUCGAAAAGUUUUUCAUAUUGUUCCUGGAGGACUUCAUUCUUCAUUGCUAUAUUGUUGUUCUGAACCUCCAGCUCAUCGACUUUAGCUUGAAGAGUAACUCUAUUUCCUUCCUGCUUUCGUUGCUUCAUACUAGGUCCAGCGGGGGUGUCAUUCUGUGUGAUGUGGCUUCUUUCGCUCCCCAUGUCGGAGAGAGAUGCUUGGCCAAAAGAAAGUGUACGAAUGGUGGAAACCAGCUUGACAGAGCUGUAGAGAGUAGGAAUAAGUGUGUUUCCUACAGACGGCGCCAAAUGUUGAUGCACAAAAUCAGCGAGGACUUUGGUACAACAGAAAGUGUCAGGUUUUGUGACCUUCGCUUGGUUGCUUCGGUCACUAGUGAGGAUAAGUACGUAAAUGAAUAGAGACAGAGAAGCAACCACAGGAUGUACGUGGUUCACCCAGAUUGGCUACGUCCACGGAGUAAAGGAGUUCUCAUUAAUUGUGAAGGGUUUACACAAAUACAUAGGUUCAAGCUCUGGUUUAGUGAGUUCUAGUGAAUAGUUUAGUACAAAAUGACAUUAGAGAUUAUUGUGGGAGAAUGAUCCCUAUUUAUAGAAGAGAGUUUCUAGUUUUGUUCUAAUAUUGACACGUGUCGUGUUGUGAUUGGCCUCUGAUGUUGACACGUGUCGCGCUGUGAUUGGCUUCUGAUGUCGACACGUGUCGCAUUGUGAUUGGCCUCCUGGUUGAAGGGAAACUCUUCUGGGUUCUUGAUGGUAUAACGUUGACCGGUGCUCAGUAGUUUCGGGAUUGGUCAAGUAUGGUACAAACAAUAUACAUUAAGGUUUUCUAUAGAACAGGAUGUCUUACCCAGUGCACAAGGCUCCCGCUUUACGCAGGGUCUGGGAGAGGUCAAUGUCUCGGCUCAAAACAAUGUAUAUUAAUUUCCCUGAAAUUUAAGGGAUGUGAAAUGCAGAUGUAUGAUAUUGGGAAGAAGCUGUGGACAACCAAAUGAGAAGAACAGGAUGUCGUACCCAGUGCACAAGGCUCCCGCUUUACGCAGGAUGCAGCAAAAAAAUGAUUUCUCGGCUGCCUCGGCGUGCUAGAAUGAGAGCUCGGAGGCAAGCCCUUCUUUGGGGGGGAGACCCUCGGAUUCGUGGACGUGGCGCUGAUUCCAUUAUAGUCGGUUUUUUGUGUAUGAAAAACUUGGCAACUUCAGUGUUGAGGCAGAGCACCCAAAGUUUAUUGUCUGGGCUAAAAGGUGCUUGGAGAAGGAGAGCGUGUCAAAGUCGCUCCCCGAGAAGGAAAAGGUCUACGAUUUCGUCAUGCUUUUUAGGAAAAAGCUUGGAAUUGAGUAGAUUUUGGUGGCAGCCUGGCAAGAAGCUAUUGAUGAUCAGUGUCAUUCCAACUUGUUAGGUCGUGUGGUUGUUUUGUCUUUCAAGAUUCUGUUGGAAUGUAUUAAGAUAUAUACUUUAGACUAACAGGAAAUCCUAGAACACCAUUUUGACAAUUAUAUCUCAGUUUCUAACCUGCAGUAGACGUGGUAGUGAUUCAAGAAGAUUCUUCUACUACUGGGAGACCAGUAUACUCUUAUGGUGAUAGUCCCAAAAGCGAAGAGUGUUUUUCUUUGUGCGCAGGGAAUCCAAUAUAUAAAGCAAGGUUUACACAACUUCCAUCUAUCGUGGGAGUUAGUUACAUACCCUAUUGCUUUCAGUCCCAAUCGUGGAUGAGUCGUGGAUGAGUGGGAUUAAGUACGUGCUUUAGUUUGAAACACUAUGGAGUAACUCCUCAAUUAUAGGGAAUGGUUUUACAUGUAUACAAAACUCAUACUGAUUUAUAAUUAAAACAUCCUGACUCAUCUUUAUCACAACUAGUUGAGUCCAAUAAGGAUUCUUACAGAUUCAACCUGUUUUGGGUUGUUGAAUUAGAAUAAAAAGGCACUUGACCAAUCCUUCUCGAGGUUUAAAUACAGCAAUGCCCUAACAACACCGAACGACACCCCCCCUCCCCUUUCGAUGUUGAAUCACCACUAGACAACAAUACCCUUAAUGGUGCCACAAUUACACUCCAAUGGUUUUAAAAACAACCAAAAACCCAUUUUCAAAUAACUCCAUUUAACAAAAAAGGACUUAAAACUAAAAUUCUUAGGAUUUUAAACCACCAAUUUAACAACAAUCUGAUGACGCCACAACAACACUCCAACAACAUUCCAACGAUACUCCCGACUUCAUGAUUUGAACCAACACAACUACAAUAACAGUUUGAUGACGCCACAACGACACUCCAACGAUACUCCCCCUUUUAUGAUUUUGGACCAACACAAUCACAACAACAAUAUGAUGAUGCCCCAAUGAUACACCCACUGAUUUUGAACCACCUCAGCCGCAACACUUUAUUCAAGAAACCCUAUCCUUCUUUAUUCCCAACCACCACAACCUAAUUUCAAAUCCAAAAAAUGGAAUAAUUGAGCCAAAGCAAGAUGAAAGAGAGAGAGGAAGAAGAAGAAUGGAUUUGGGAGGUGGAGCAAUAAGAAGCUUACCUCCUUCAUGGUGUUCAAGAUAUUUUUCACUGCUCCAAAUUUGAUUAGUCAAGACGGAGCAACCAAAGAAUGAGUCUGAAAAUGGAUUUGAUCAAUGAAGGACAUGUUGACCAAUAUAAAGAUUAACAAAGGGCAAUAUGGACUUUUCACAAGUAAAAUUGAUCAAAAGAACAAUUUUUAAAAAGUGUAAUCAAAAGUGCAAUCAAAUUUCAAAACAUGUCUAUUGUGGCUAAUUACCCUGUUAUCUUUUGAGAUCAUAAUUGGAUCUAGCCUCUAACAAAACCACUAAAUAAAAGCUAGUAAUGGUAACCCCAUAAGUUAUAUUGGCCAAUACGUCCACGAGUGAGACUUAGGGCUGGUUUGGUAUUGCUGUGCUUUGAAAAAAAGCUGUUGUGAGAAUAAGCGGUUGUGCUGUGAGAAUAAGUGGCUGUGAAAUAAAUCAGCAGAGUGUUUGGUAAACUUUUUUGUAAAAGUGCUUUUGGAAAAAAAAGUAGUCUGAUAGUGAGUCUUUUCAUUAAAGGAGCACUGUAGCUCUGUGUGCUUUGAAAAAAAGCCAGUUUUCUAAAGCUGCAAAUAGUAGCUUCAGCUUUUUCUUUUGAUUUCAGCUUAUUCUCACAGCAGCUUCCAAAAUAAGCUUUUUUUUUUCAGUUUACCAAACACCUAAAACCUUCACAGUUUUUUUUCAUAUGUGCUUUUUUUUUAAGCACCUCACUCCCAAACCCAACCUUAUUACUAUAAAAGUGGUCAAGAGUGACAGUAACCCAUAUGCGCGAUAAAUUUAUACUUAUGGUCGUGGUCAAAUCUGCUCCAUGUCGAAGCUCCUUACCGAACUUGACUUUCUCGUGCUAUUAAUUGUAAAAACUUUUGUUAUUAUUAUGAUGUGAUUGUUAUCAUUGGCCUUUAAUGGGCCAGAGACCUAUCCGUUGAUUGGUUAAUAUGGUUUAGGAGUGUGAUUUCAUCAAUAAAAUAUAAAUAUACAGUUUUUCUAGCAUUACUUUAUAAAAAACCUAUGCCAAGUUAUGAGUAAAAGAGUAAUGCUAGAGAGACUAAAUUUGUAGAUAAAAUUUGUAAACCACAUAACAUGAAAGUUGAUGAUUGAAUUAUUACUUAAGCCUUGAGAAAUAUGUUUAUUUCCUAUUGGUGACAUAUCAUUCAGUUUGCAAAUUUUGUCUACAAAUUUAAUCUCCUUAUGAUUACCUUAAGUAAAAUAACUCAAAAGAAUUAAAGUAUGAGCUCGAGGUGGGUCCUGACACAAAACUACCCUGCUUGUUCAAGUUUGUCUACCAAAAAUUGAUAUCUUUCCCACCAAGAAAAUAGAAUUACUAUAAAGAAAUAGAUUCAAAUGCUAUAGUCCGACUAGAAAAAUACGUGUUAUAUAAAUUAUUACAAAUCAACAUACAUUAACAAAGAAAAUGAAGGAUUUGAUGCCGAAAGCAGUGACAUAAUCGUUAUCCAGUUAGAAAAUCUCGAAUAUAUAUGUACAAGAAAGGAAGAGAAGUAGAAUCUCUCCAUGUCCGGAGGUCUUAAGACUCCUUUUUCUCCUUUGAAUUUUUGUCUAUAAAUACACAAUCUGUUAGUCUGCUUCUACCACCACUGCUCAGUCACAGUCAGCUUUUUGUAUCCUUUGAAACUUUGUUAAAUCUGAUCAACCUUCUAUGGCGGAUGAGGUGGUGUUGUUGGAUUUCUGGGCAAGCCCAUUUGCGAUGAGGCUGAGGAUUGCACUGCCUGAGAAGGGCAUUGAGUACAAGCAUAAAGAUGAGGACUUGUGGAACAAAAGCCCACUGUUGCUGCAGAUGAACCCGAUUCACAAGAAGAUCCCG